GAGCGUUGAUGAUGGGAACGUUGCCAUGGUUGCCAAUGUCCUUGACGUUCUCAACCCCCGGUGGGAGGGAGGGGUGGUGAGGAAAUUCUAGGACAAGGGUUUUGACACAAGUGGGGUGGGCAGAGAGGAGAGGGUUGAGGAAGGGUAGGUUCUUGGGAGUGACGACCAGAGUGAGGGUUAGGUUGGGGUGAGUGAGAAGCAACUGAUGGGCUAGAUCUAGAAGCGGAAGCAUGUGGCCUUGUGCAGCGUAUGGAAACACCAGAAUGUGAAUGGGUGUUUGUGCAGAACCAGACAUGACUUUGGAGGUAUGAAUUCCACCGGUUGCCUUACCCUGUCCUCGCAUUUAUUCCAGUGGUGGUGGGUGGUGGCGAUGGUGAUGGUGGUGGGGGGUGGUGGGCUACACCUCUUUUUACUACUGUUCAAGUUAUAAAGCAUGAGCAAGAGACGUGUUGGGAAACGUGUUCCAGGAACUCGCUUAAAGAAUAAUAAUAAAAAAUAAAAAAAAGAAAGAGAUUUUAAUAAUAAUUCAAGAGUUUAGUAUGGUAAAAGUAUUAUAAGUAUCCAAAAUUUUCCCAUACACCUACUUCUACUUGGACUGGAAAAUUGACUCAAAUUUCCAUUAUAUUUGAGCCCAAAAGUUAAUGAAUGAGUGAAAUUGAGUUGAAUAUCGACUUUUCACGUUUCUCUCAUUAUCUUUUUUCCCUUUCUCUCUCUUCGUUCACUUUACCUUUUUUUUCUUUCACAUAUUAAUUAAUGGGAUCAUGUAAAUUAAUUUCUAAUUAGGAGGUGUCAUUAUGUCCACCAAUUAUUUUUCUCUCAAGAACCAUGUCUAAUAAAUUGAAUAUCGGAAAUCAAUAGUUAAAAAUGAUUAUUACUACAUUUUUUUUAAGUAAAUAUUUUUUAAACACCUCAUAAAAUAUUUUUUUUUUCAAACUUACAAAAUAUAUAAUAAAUAUUUUUUAAACACGUUAAAAUAUCUAAUAUAUAUAUAUAUAAACUAUUUUUUAUAUAUAAAUAUCUUUAAGGUUAUAGACAAUUAUUUGAAUAUUUUUUAUAUUUUAUGGACAAUACAUUGACAUUGUCAUAAUAUAUUAUUUUGUAAUAUGACCAUUUUCUAACUAAUGGUGAUAAUUAAUUUUAAAUUGAAUAAUGUAUUAUAAUUUAAUAAUUUGAAAAAUAUUAAAAGACCCUUUUAAAUCUGAAAUAUAUGUGAACUUGAUAUGAUUUAAAUUAUUAAAACACGAUGUCAUCAAAUAAACAAAUGUAUCAUAUCAAAAGAUGUUCAUGUAAUUAUAUUUUUCCUUAUACAUGAUAUCUUUCGUAUAAAGUUUGUUGAUGAAAAAUGAAAAAAUAUUUUGUUAUGCAAAGAGGUAUAAAAACACAUUAAAAUAAAAAAGAGAAUAUAAUGGAGUACAAAUUAGAGGGAAAUCACCUUAAAUAGAGAUAUAAUAGAAAACAUGAAAAUGUGAGGAAAAAAUAAGUUUAGAUGAAAUUUAAGAUAAACAAUCAAAGAAAAUAAAUUAAAAUUAAUAAUAUAAAAAUAAUAAAAUCUUCAAAACUAUAAUUACAACAAAAAAAAUUAUUUUAAAUUAACUCGAUAAAUUAAAUUAAUGAUUUUUUUUAAACAUUACAAAUGUUACAAAGAUAAAUUUUUAUCAUUUUUAAUUCUAUUUAAAUAUGAUUUUUUUUUAAUCUCUACUAACAUUAUGUUUAUAAGGGUAAAAUGGUAAAAAUAUAUAUUUCAUUCAGUUUAUUUAUAAUAAACACUUUAAAUAUGAUUAAUUUUAAUUUUAUUUCCUAUGUUUUAAUUUUGGUAAGGAACAUCUAAAUGACAUAGUUGGUAAAAAAUAUUGAUAAUUUUUCCUAAACAGUUAUUAUAUUAUGUUGUUUAUAUUGUCUUAAGUCAUUUUAAACAAUGACACUAAUGUGUAAUCCAUUUAUAUUAAUUUGAUUUCACAACAAAGGUAGUACCUAAACAUUGUGGUUAAUUUUCCUUUAUAUGAGAUGUAAAUGUACUAAGAAAAAAUAUUGUCAAAACGACUCAAACGAAAUAUGCAAUUAUAAAUUUUGGAUGGUGAAAUUUAAAAUUCAAAUCGAAACAAUUUUUAGGUGAAGGAAUCUAGAGGGGAAAAAUGUCCAAUCCUUAGGUGACAAGAAAAAAAAUGGUUCAAAAUUGAUUGAAAUCUUGUAUUAAAGGUAGACCCAUUAUAUAGUUAGUACAUUUGCCUUAUACAAUUAGUACAUUUACCUUGUACAUUGAGUGUAAUACCCUUGUAUAGUAGUACAAAUUUUAUAUACAAUCCAUAGGUGAUAAGGAAAAUAAAAAAGCGAUUAAAAAUCGAUUAAAAUCCUUUACAAAUGGUAGCCUUGUACACCCUUAUACACUUAGUACAUUUCCCUUGUACACUUUGUAUAUUUUCCUUGUACACUUAGUGUAACACAAUUGUACAAUGACGUAAUAUAUCCCUUUUAAGUUAUGUGUCCACAUAGGUAUGUUAACCAUAUUUCUAAAGGUUUGGCUUGAAAAAAAUUGGAUGAAUUAGGGUAAAAAUUUUUUCCCUAAACAUUAUUACUAGGAAAAGUAUCAGAAUUUUCAUGUGAAAGUUAAAUAAAGUGCAUGACUUGGGUAUGCAAUCUGUGGGUGACAAUGAAAAUGAAGAAGCGAUUCAAAAUCGAUUAAAAUCUUUCACAUAUGGUAGCCUUGUACACCCUUGUACACUUAGUAAAUUUUCCUUGUAUAAUUAGUAUAAUACCAUUGUACAAUGGCAAAAUAUAUCCCUCCUAAGUAAUGUGUCCAUGUACAUGUGUUAACUAUAUUUCUAAUGGUUUAGUUGAGAAAAUGGUGGAUGAAGUAGGGUUAAUUUUUUUUUUCUCAAACAUCAUUACUAGAAAAAGUAUCAAAAUUUCUAUGUGGUAGUUAAAUAAUGUGCAUGACAUGAGUAUGCAAUCUAUGGGCGACAAGGAAAAUAAAGGAAUGGUUCAAAAUUGAUUGAAAUAUUUUACAAAUGGUAAUAUUUUACAUUCCUUGUACACUUAGUACAUUUCCCUUAUACAAUUAGUGAAUACCCUUGUACAAUGGCACAAGAAGAAAACAAUAUAGAAAAUAAAAAUUAUUUUUAAAAAUAAAAAAAUAAAAACUAGAAAAAUAUUUUAAAACCAAACUCAAACAUAAUCUAUAUAAUUUUUACCUACUUGUUUAAAAUGAGUAAAUAUACCAUUAAACCCUUUUAUAUGAGAAAAAUUCAAUCUUUACUAUACUAUGUAUUGAUAUAAUCUAUUUCUAAAUACGAAAACAUUUUAGUUAGAUAUUUAAAAUAAAAACUCUCCAUCCAUCUUCUUUCUCUCUUUUUCUUUUUCUUAUUUCAAUAAAUAUUCAAUUAAUUCAAACCAUUAAAAAAAAUUCCUUAAUAAAAAAUUUGCAACAUUUCAUGUAACUUAUUACCAAAAGUCUAUGUUAAAAAAAUUAUUAAAAUAAGGAAGGAAGAAGAUUAAAGAAAAGUUUAAAUUUUAUAAUAGUAAAAAAAAUAAACUUUAAAAUACUUUUUAGUAUAAAAGAAAAAAAAUAGAAAAUAUAUUUAUUUUAAAUAGUGUUUUAAUUAUUAAAUUAUUUACUUCUAAAAUGUAAAAGUUAAUUUUUAUUCAUUUAAAUUAAUAUUUUUUUGAAAUUAUUUUUCAAAAUAGUUUUUGAAUCAUUAAUAUAAUUUUUGUUUAUUUAUAAUUUAAAAAUAGAAAAUAAGGCUGAUUUUUUUUUAAUUAUUUUUAAAAGAGUUUUACAAAUAAUGAAAAAUAAAAAAAUUGAUUAAAUAAGGAGGAAUUUUAUGAAAGUGGCAUAUAAAGAGUAGUGGUAUAAAGACAAAAAUGAUGAGUGUAAGUCAAAGGGGUAUUUUUGUCUAUUCCUACCUUAUAUCCUUAUAAUCAAUUAUGGGUGUUUGAAGGACUUUUAUUAAUUAUCAAGGACAAGUGGGUGAAAAAUACAAUUCUUUCUAAAACGAAUAUAAUGAAAGAAUGCCUAAAAUUUUAAUUAAUUUUACAUCUAUACAACUUGAAUUUUAAAACUUAAUUUUUUUAUAGUUUUUUUUUUCUUUUAAUGUGAGUGUAAAAACAUACUUUUUUCUUAGGUUUUGGUGCAUGUCUCACAAACUUGUCCCCAUCCACCUUCACUAGGUUGAAGAAAUGGUUGAUGUUAUGAAUUUCGAGUGAAAUUUGGUUGCAUCCAAGGAAAAUAUGGUUUUAGAUGUAUUUUUUAAAAUUAAUUUGAGCUAUAUAUUAAAAUGUAUUUUUUUUAUAUAAAAAUUAGAUACCAAAAUUUAUGAAGACAAAGGAAUUAUCAAAUAUAUAUAUCUUAAAAUUUUUAAAAAUUUAAAUAGGUGGUUAGAGGUGAAAUGGUGAGAGUUAGGUUUUGGAAGUGGGCACGUGAUGGGUAAGGGUAGAACAACAUGAUUAUAAUGUCAGUGGAGGUACAAGUAAUCACGGAUUUCACAUGAGCUAGGUGUCAUGGACUUAGUCUUUUCUUAAGCUCGUGCAACACUUAGACAAGUCAAGACCGUUGAUCUUGCUAAGUCAGCCUUACUUCCGAUGCUUAGCUUGCUAGGCUAAGAUGCUCAUGACUUGGAAGCUUUAGAAGGUGUAGUAGGCAACUCUUAAAGAAUGGAAGAUUUAUUGCUCAAAGGAAGCUUUACAAAUGUUUUGGAACUCACUUGCUUGGUGCCUUGGCCAAAUGGGGCCUUCACCUAUUUAUAGGCACCAAUGGAACUCUUUGGAACCUUAGAGGAUUCCUUACAAAUCAAGAACAAUCUUGAACAUCCUACACAAUUCUAUGUACUAGCCUAUGUAUAAGAAUAUACAAAAGAUUUCUAGAAUUCUCUAGAAGGCCUUGGACUCAUCUCAUUCCUUCCACCAUAGUGUAGAGGUGUGUGGACUUCUCUAGGCAUCUCUAGAACUUUCUACACUUAUCCCACCAAUUGCUAAGUGUAGGAGUCUCCAGAAGCUUCCUAGGCUCUAUAUAAACCCAUGGGGAGGCUCAUUUGAAGCAUCCUGUGACACUCUCCCCCACAUAAAACGCAAAUGUCCUCAUCGUGCCUUCUACCCGAAGCCGUUCAAUCUACUCUUGGAACUGCCAUAGUGCAUCUGAUGGCUCCCAACUAACCUCGCUCUCUAGUAGUCCUUUCCAUUUUACCAAGUACUUCGUAGCAGGAGGCAUGUCUCGUCUUCUGACGACUCAGUCUACAAUGAUGUGUUUUACCUCCUUGUCAUAAGAGGUUACAACCGUUGUAGUUAGAUAAAUAAUCAAUAAUAAAAUGUGGUGUAUGAUAUUAUGUUAAGUGUGGAGUAAAUUCUUCAAGAUUUUGAGUGCUUCUUUAAGGUAUGAGAAAUUAAUACAGAUUUUGUAAAAUGAAAUAGUUUUAUUUUUAUAUGAUAUUUUGAAAUGUGUAAAAAAAAAUAUUUUUAUUUCUAUGCAUGGAUCAAAUAUAUGUUUUGUAUGAAAAAUAUGUUUGACCAUUUUUUUUGUUUAUAAAAAAUAAAAAUUGUGGAGAUAUGAUAUUUUGUUUUGUAAGUUUGAAUUAAUGAAAUGAAGUGUUUGACUCUAAUUUUUAUGACCCUAGUCAAUGGGUUAUAAUAGUUGACCUUAUGGCCCUUUGUCAAUGGGUUAUAAUUGUUGACUUUUGGUUUUGUUCACCUUAAAUGGAACAAAUUUGAAACUAGCCACUCGUUUGUCAAGUCCCACCUAAUUGGACACCAUUUGUUGUUUGAUAAUUAAAGUAAAGAUAUUUUGAAUGUAUUUGAUAUGGUUUUGAUGAGAAAUUGUUUUGAAAUGGAUAUAAGAAAGUUUUGUUGAAAAUUUUUGAAUAUAUUAGCAUGUUUAACUCAAGAGUUUUUGUGAAAAUGAAUAUAUGUUAUAUCUCUUAUUUGUAAUUAUAAUUAAAAAUGUUUGAUCCUUGAAACUGUAUUGAUGUUCCUUAUUGAGCUUUAAGCUCAUGCCCCUUCACUGAUAAUUUUUUAGGUAUUUUAUAUUCGGGCGAGGAGUGAUGGAUAGGUUGGGGAUUUUUUUUCUUUGUUAGGAUUUUAGUUCAAACUUUAUUUUGGACAUUAUUUAGAUGUUAAAUUUUAAUUCCCAUUUGAAUUAUUUGAGUUUGUAGUUAUUUGGUGUUAGUUUUUAAAGUUGAGAAUUGGGGAUCAUAGAAUUUAUUUAUUUUACUACUCUAAACAAGAAAUUGGUAAUUGGUAAUUUCCAAUUACAAGAUGAAUAUUGUGUUGUUUCCACUUUGAGCCUUUGGGUUUUGAGGUGUGAAUUGACAAUCAUGCCCUUAGAGUGGGUUUUGGGGCAUGGCAUUUACUUCUCAUUUUUCAACUUAUAUCCAUUAGAAUUGGAUAUAUGUUGUCCUAUUGUUGGUGUAAGGCAACUUUUAGCUUGUUCAAGGAUAGAUCAUUUUAAAAAGUAAAGUAUAUACUUGGAAUGAGCUCAAUAAAAUCUUGUGGAAUCCUGAAAUGCUUCAAUUACAAGAAAAUAAUGUAAGGCUCCCAAGUCCUUUAGAGAGUCUUGGAUGAGUUUAGCUAUCAAGCUGGGGUUAUUUAUAGUAAUGAGAAUAUCAUCUACACAUACAAGUAAGAAUUUAGAGUUAUAGUCUUUGAUAUAUCUGAAUAAGGAUGCAUUAGACUUUGAGCUUUUGAAACUCCAUUAAAAAAAGUACUUCACUAUUUCUCAAACCAAGCAUAGGGUGCUUGUUUGAACUCAGACAACGCUUUAUGUGGUUGGCACAUAUAUUAAAACUUGUCAAACACUUGAGUUGUUGAAGUGAGUCAUUUGGGUUGUAUUUUAACUUAUGUAUCCAUUUUUGGCGAAUAAUAUUAUAAUGUGGAGGGCAAAAUACUAAGGACAUGUUUAGUUUGAAGUCAUGCCUAAAAUUUUGCUUCCAUACUCUUUUUUCACUUGUUAGAUUUUAAUGUUUCAAUAACACUUAGGUUCACUCUCAAGUUGUUUUAUUGGGCAUUGAGUUGUGAACAACUUUGGUUUGAAUAUUCCUAUCUUUUAGAUGUGAGUUAGAAGUAAGAAUAUGCAAAUUCACAACUAGGAGUUAGCUUAUUAUAGACUCUUUAUUUUUUCCUCUAGCACAUGUUAUUCAUCACAUUUGGUCCUUCUUACCUUGCAUUUUCAUGUGACACGCAUGUAGGAUUCCCCUUUUACUUAGUAGUUCAUUAUGCUCUAUAGUGGUCCACCUGUUACUCAAUUUGUUAUUAACUCUUGGGUCACUUUUGGAGACCUUUUUGAGGGAGUUUUUGGACCCAAAGCAUGAUUUUAGUGGUACCUUAGGUUCUCCCUAAGUUUCGACAUAUUUGAAGCUCAAUUGAGUUUUUUUUUUUUUUUUUUUUUUUUUUUUUGCGACUUGUGACCUGUCCAAGUUCAAACCAAAGAUGGGGAACCGAUUCAACCUAUCAAACCAACCAGUUCAGUUGGUUGAACUAGUUUUCCUUAACUGGUUCGUCCUGUUGGGUUGUUUCUCUAUUGUUUUAACUUGAAAUCGAGCACUAUUUUAUUUUAUUUUAUUUUUGUUUGUUUCCUUACAUUCCAAGGAGUGUUUUUGUUACCUUUAACCCUAGUGUAGAGCCCCUUUGAUUUUAGUUCUUGUGUAAGUGGGUUUUUGGCUACUUUGAGCAUAGGGUGAGAUGAGGACAAGUGUCUAAAUUAAUGCUUGUGAUCUCCAUUAGUUCUGUAACUUACUAGUGACAAUUUCUUCAUCAAUGGCGUUACAUUUAAUCCUCCUCACCAUAUCAUGCAUAGGAUCCCCCUAAUCGCUCAUUGGAUUAUCAUUGCUUGACACCUUUAUAAGUGAACUGAAUUGGACAUUAGUGUUUUCAUCAUCAAACCAAUGCGUAUCACCUUCAUUGACGAAGAUCACCUUCAUUCUUAGGUACACAUCAUAAUGUUUCCAAGAUGGCACAAUCAGUUCAGAAGUGGUUCUUCAGGUUAGCAUCAAACCAAGUUGCAAGUCAAAGACCAACAUGUGUCAUAUUCAUUAUAUUCAAGACUACUCUUACAACAACAAGAAGAGAUCAAUUCUUCAUUAAUAUGCACUAAGAUUGUGCAUCAUUUGCACUUUCGCAUCAUCAUUAGAACACAUAUCAAAGGUGUCUAGUAGCUUGAAUAACAUUCUAUAUCAUCAAAUUUUACAAAAGUUUAUAGGUUAGUUUUGUUAAAUUUUUUAUGUUGAUUUCAUUAUCUUUCUUUUUAUUUAUUUUAUAUCUUUUGAUUUGAAUUUUAUCAUGAUUGGGUGUGUAUAAAUUAGGCCACACACAAGUGUUGUUAGAUUCAUUAUUUAGUUUGAUGUGUGAUUGGUUUUUUUGCUAGUUCAUAUUUUAGAACUAAACCUAGGUUAAUUUGAUCCCAUACCCAAUUAAGCCAUUUGAUGUUUAUAUGAUGAUUGGCUUUGAACGAAUAUAUUAAUUUUGAUUCAAACCUUUGAUUUUUAGUUAGUUUUUGUAAGCUCACACCUCAUAAAUCACAUACAUAUAUCACAUUUAAAUAGAUGAUCCUAUAUUAGACUUAUUUAAAUAUUUGUUUAGGACCCUUUUGGUGUUGGAUUUUUAGGAAUUUAAAAUAGGACACAAUAAACCACUUAAAUGGCUAUCAAUUUGAUCCAUAUAAUUUGUCAUAAUUCAAACAUUUGAUCACUUAAUUUUGGCACAUAAGCUUGCCUUUAGGUGCUUUCUAUCUGGUUUUUGGUUUCCAUGUGUUUUAAUGAUUUUGAAAAUGUUUUCAUUUGUUUUUAAAAUAAAAUAAAUCCUCACAAUCCAUAUUUAAAUUUGUCUUAGAUCAAUUAGGUAAAGGAAAGUCUAUUUUAAAAAGCAAUGCAACCUUAUUUUAUUCAGUAUGCAUAUUUGAAAAGGUUUUAGAAAUGAAUUUUGAUUUAUGAUACAUGAAUUAAAUUCGUAGCUCCAAUCAAUGGAGUCAUUCUUAGUCUUGGUGAGCUUAUUCAUGAUCAUUUGAAGUUGAGUAAUUAUGGAUGUAUUCAUGGAAAUUAAAAAGGGAUUUGGUAAAUCCCUAUAUACAAAGUUCUCCAAAAAUUGGUCUUUCAUUGCCAUAGUUGAUAGUCCACUACACCUUUGAAAUUGUAAAUUGGAAUCCAAUCACUUAAAGGCCCCCUAAAAUUAUUUUAAUGCUUGAUAUUGCUAGACUCCUUAAAUUUAUGAAAUAAAUUUUGUUUGAAUCUAAAAUACUUCUCUAAUUAAUAGAUUUAAUUUAGUCUUCCAAUAGGUACAAUUUAAGCACUAUUCUAGACAUUCGAAGUGUUUUUGCAAAAUUAAAUUAUUAAAGGAUUUCUUUUAUUUCUUUGAUCAUUUUUUCUUUAAUAUAGAAUUCUUGAAUUUGAAUUUAAAUGCAUAAAACAUUAAGAAAUUAUUUUCCAAAUGAGAGAUAUGAUUUUCUUUUCAACACUUACUACAUAGACCAUUUUUUGGAGCUAAGAAAUGUUAAUUUAAUUUUAAAUCUAUUAUAUAUAUGAUUAUGAAUUAGGUUUAUUUUUCCUAUAAACUAUAAUGUUAAAUGAGUUGUUUGAUAGGAUUUUAGGACAUCUCUAAGUUAAUAAAAAAAAAAAAAUUUCAUGCAUGCCUUGUAAAAAUGCUAUGUUUUGGACUUAUUGUGUGUGUGUGUGUGUGUUUUUUUCUAUGAAAUUUGGUACCUAGUUAAUCAGCUUGACUUUUUGGAUUAUAAUCUAGACAUAUAGAGGAGGUUGUCCAAUUUUUAUUUUUUUUUCAUGAUAAAAAUCAAUUUCUAGAUUUUUUUUUAUGAUUUAUUUUGUAGACUCCUUUGUUCUAAUUAUAUGUUGAUCAUUUUGUGUAGUGACGUGAUUGUGAUUUAAUUUGGUAUUAUUUGAAAUCUAAUUAAUUUAUUUGGCCUUUAUGAUCUAGAUAUGUUAAAGAUAUUACUCAAUUUUUAUUUUCACGAAAUAACACUUCUUGAUAGUUAUUUGGAAUUUAUUUUAUGAAAAUCUAUAUUCUACCCUAUUAAUGAUAAUUCAUAUGAUAUCAUAAUUUGAUCACUUUUGAGCAUCUUUGUGAACCUUUUUUUACUAUUGAUUCAUAUUCUCGAUGGAUUUGGUAUAUUAGUGAGCCUUUCUCUAGAUUAAAAUUGUUAGGACAUUGAGUCUUGUUUGUAUGUUGACAAUUUGUUCCUUUUAACAUUUGGCUAUUUUAGUCCUUUUAAAUAGUGACUUGCUCUCCAUUGAAGAUCAAAGGUUGUUGCUUGUCCAAUUGGGAAGUCACAAGUAUGUCUAAAAAGGUUUGACAUGUGGCAAGUUAGACUCCUAUGAGGUAUAUAGAGAAUCAUUAUUAUUAUUUUUAACUUAAAAUACUUUAAAUUAAUGUUUUGAAAAAGGGUAGGACCACUCAAGUAGCUUGAAGCACUCAAGCGUUGAAGAUCACUUAAGCACUCUACAUUGGUUAAGCGCCUGAGGUGCUCAAGUGAUCAUGUUGAUUCUGCUAAGAUUUUUCACACAAAUUUGACUUAGAAUUCUUCUAAAACCAAAACUUUUCGGGUUGUUUGCCUAUAAAUACCUCAUUAUAAUUUGAAAAAGAUUAAAUAUCUUAAUUUCUUUAGAGAGGGUUUCUUUGGAGAGAAAGCCUAAUGAGCCACAUCUUUUUCGACCUCUCAUUCAAAGGAUUCAAUCCUUGAAUCUUGGGUUGAAGACCUUCAUCCCUUCAACGAGGCUGAAGUGUAUUCAUGAGAGCAAUAGUGGUUGUUUCAUUGUAGUGUGGACCUGCAUUUUUCGCAUGUGUUCCUACUUGAUGAUGAGACUUGCUUUUUAAGGUGAAAAACUAUAUUUUAAUAAAAAAUGGAGUCAUCGCUUUUUUUUUUAUUGUUUUAAAAAGGAAAAUAAAAUAAGAAACUACAACCUUAAAAAAAUGUCUCCUUAAACUUUUGGAAAAACGUGUCUUUAAAAAAACUCAAGUCUAGAUCCAAGGAUCAGGUUAUUUGUUGGGAAAGUACCUUAAAAAUGUAGCAACCCUUUAAGCCUUAAAAAGGUCUCUUCUGACUAGUAUGAGAGAUGAAUGACAAUUAAUUAAUUGAUUGAGGGUACUUGAUAAGCAAAGGUGAUCAAAAUUAAGGAUAAACAACAUAUUAUUUAUAUCCAAACAAGUAUCUCAAAGCAAUGAAUCAUACUAGAAAGGUAGAUGGGUGUACUUGAACUACAAUCUAAAAUGCUUUCAUGAAAAUGUCAAAGUUAGUUUAACAAAUACAACAUACAACAUGCGUUCAAUCCAUUAAAAAAAAAACAAGCAAUAAUAAAAGCAAUCAAAACAAUAUCAUAAGUUAGAAAGCUCACAAAUAAAGUUUGUAUAUUUACAAAAUUAAAGUAGAAAGUGAAAGGGACGUACUUGAAUAGCAUGAACAACUCACAAUGCGUUUGUAUAUAGUUAGAAUAGGGUUAGUUUAUAAGCAGUAAUAAAUAAUAUCAUCAAAACCUUAUAUUCUACAUGACGUAUAUACAACUUAAAUUAAGAGCUAGGGAGUUUGAACAAUACACAACAUCAAGGUAACAAUGACUUCUAGAUCAAACAAACUAAUAAAGAUAUUAAUCAAGAACUAACAACUAGAAUUCAAGAAGUACAUAAAUUGAGAUAAAAUCAAUCAAGGGCUAGUAUCGAUGACUUUUAAAACAAAACUAAUAAUGUGAGAUUAUCACAAAUUAUCAACUAAGAUUUGAAGAAAUAAUAAAUGCCGUUAGGAUCAUUAAAACAACAUCUAAUAAUUCAAAGAACAACAUAAACUGACAUGGAUCAUAAAAAAUCAACAACUAACUAUUCAAAGACAUAAAUUAACAUAGAUUAUCAAAAUUAGUGACUCAACAUACAGGAUUCCAAGAAAAGUGAAAAUCAACAUUGAUCAUCAAAACUAAAUAACUAAUAAUUCAAAAGGGCAAUAUAAAUUAACAUGGAUCAACAAAACUAAUAAUUUAUAACUUUAAGAAUAAUAUAAAUUAACAAGGUUCGACUAAUAAUUCCAAGAACAAUAAAAAUUAACAUGGAUCACCAAAAUUUAAAACUAAUAAUUCAAGGAACGAUAUAAAUAAAAUGGAUCAUCAAUACUAAGAACUUGAUUCAAAGAGAAUAACUAAGAUAAAAAAAAAUUAUUAUUCAAAACUAACAUAUAAAUUUUUUAUCUUGAGAUCAUUUAUUUAAACAAAUUCCAACUAAAGAUUAUCAAUAACAAGAACAUGAAAUCCAAAGAAAUUAACUAACAUCAUAAAAUCAUUUGAAACAAACUUCUAAAUAUUAUUUUUUAAAAGAAAAUCCUAACUUGACAUCAUCAAAAUUCUUAAACAAACAACCAACUAAUGAUUUUACCAAAAAAAAAAACUAAACAGACAUAUUUUUAAAAAAAAUUUCAAAAUAAAUGUUUAUAAUUAUUUCUUUUAUUUUAAUGUUAAAAUAAAUUUGUAGAGUAAUAAAGUAAUUUUUUUUUGUCACUGAUGAAACCUAACAAACUACAAACACUUUAAUAAUAAAUAAAUAAAUAGUGGCUUUUAAUCUAAAAUACCAUACCCCUAUUGAAUAAUAACACAAUACAAUUCAUGAUCUAAGUACACUGUUGCAUGCUACAUAUAAUGUUAUUCUGUCAUGAAAUUCCAUGACCACUAUGCAACAAUAACUCUUAAAAUAACAAGAUUAAUGAACUUUGAAAUAUCUUAUAAUAAUAAUAAUAAUAAUAAAACAAUCUUAACCUUACAUAUUUUAAUAUUAUUCAUACAUGAAAUUCCAUGGUGACUAUGCAACAACAAAUUUUAAAAUAAUAACGUUAGUGAACUUUGGAAAAUAUUGUAACAUAAUAAUAAUAAUAAUAAUAAUAAUAAUCACAUGCCUCAAAGAAUUGGUAAUGAUAUUAUCAAUUUAAUAAUGGCUAUGCAUGAGAAUGGUGAGAACAUGCGGCCCCUUCUCUUGUGCGUGCUGGAGAUUGCCUCAAAGUGGUUGCCACCUGAUUUUUCAUGUGCAGCCAUGGCCCCUCAUAUGUGGGGUGUGAAUUUCAAGUGUCCAUCCAGAGUGGCAGCAUGAUGUUUGUUUUUCUCAUGGGUUGUGUCCUCCGAAAGUGUGUGUCGGCUACCCCGAAGAUGGUGCAGGCCGGGUAUCUCUUUGGUGGAGAAUUCCUAUUAAGCGGUAUGGGCUCUCCAUGUGUGCAGGUUGAAUCUCUACUGAUGGUGUGCUUCUUUUCAAUGGAUGACAGCCGUAUGUGGCCCCCUAUGGAAUGUGUAGGCUGCUUGUGCAUGAUCUUGUAUGCGUGAGUCCCAAAAAAAAUUCAAGAUGUUGUUUCUCAAUAUCCAAUCGUCCACACAUGUUCCACAAAAAAAAUCUAAUGUUCAUGGUAUGCACAAAUUUCGUAAAUUUUGGUCCUGUGAAAUUUAGCAAAAUAAAAUAGGAAAAUAUAAUACGUACAAAAUAUUUAUUAAAUUUAAUAAUAUAAUGAGUACAAUCUCAGAAAAAAUAUUCUUUUCAACAAAGAAUAUUUUACCUUUGAUUCUUUUGUCUUGAUCAUACUUUAAAAGAUGUCGAUGACAUUUUCUUAAUUUCGAAGGUAAAUUAAGGGUCACAAGUAGCUUACUCCCGAACUUGGAGAGAGAUGUUACCUUUGGAUUUUCUCCUUAUGAUUUUCCUUUCUAGAGUUUUUUUAGUUUUUCAAUUUCUUUCUCCCUUUUUUUAUGAAAGAUAUCUCUGUUUAUAGGUGAAGAUAGAGAAUUUAAAUUUCAAAUUCCAUAAUUUUAAUAAAUUUUUUUAUUUGAGAUAUUUUACCAACAAGAUAAUAAUAAUAAUAAUAAUAAUUUUCUUAUUAUUUUAUAGUUGAAGAUGAGAGAGAGAGACUCAUCCAUAAGAUGAGAGACUCAUCCAUAAGAUGAUUUUUUUUAAAAGAAUUAAUUAAUAAUAAUUUAAUUCACUAAUUUUUUUUAUAUUUAUAUUCACCACUCAGUUCCCCCGAUCCGUGUACUCAUCAAAUCAGCAUCAGCUUUCAUUUAGAGCAUUUAUUUAUUGGGAACUUAGGAGGCGAGUACAAUUAUUUAUUCCUUUCUCUUUUUGUGUUUCAUCUUUCCACGGUUUUACCGUCCCCCACACCUCCCUCCCCCGUUGCGGCUUAGCUUGGCGACCGCGCUUCAACAGUACUAUUAAUUCAAGAGAAAAAAUUAAAAAAACCCUAGAAAAGACAAAAAGAGAGCAGGGGAAAAAAGACAAAAGGUUUUGUUGAAUUCCGUGUAGCGAGUGCAGACGAGUGUCCGGUGUGUUGGAGAUCAGAACGUGGGUUUGUACUUUUCCAAUUUUAUUUUACGGGAAUAUCUUUAGGUUUACCGAUGAAGACGUGGUUCCAGGCCGGGGUCAGCAUUCUCUGGAGGGUAUUAUUGGCAAAUUUGUCUAGUUGGUACACAGUGGAUUCAGUACACUGCAAACGGCCGUAUUAAAUUGUGAUGCAAGUUUCAAGAAGUAAGGGGUGUAGGGCCCUCAUCCACUGUACAUAAUCGUGUAGGUUAAAAACGUAUGCAGUGCAACAUCACAUGAAUAAACCCUUGCAAUUUGCGUUGAAGAUAUGUUUUUCUUGUUUUUGUUUCCAUUGCUUUGAAAUGUUGCCGAAAUCAAAUCAAUUCGAAAGUUUCAUUCAGUACUUACAUUUCUCUUUUUCUCUUUUUCUCUUUUUCUCAACUAUAUCGUAUAGAAGUUUGAUGCCUGAGCAAUUUUCUUGUAAUUAAAGCUUAAGCCUAUGUAAAAAAGAAAAGUAAAAUAAAAAAAUUGUAAAAAAAUAAAAAAUGUUUAAAAUAAAUAAUUUAAUUAUACACCACUGCCUCCAAAAACCUGAUGGUCUUCAUCAGCAAACCGUCCACUCAUGCAACUCCUAAAAUCUGAGUUUCUCCAUAACCAAACCAUGUACACCAUCAGCACCUUCUAGAAAAAUCUGUUGUCCUCAACUGUAAGGAAUCUGAUCCGUAUUCAUCUCCAAAAGAGCUGAUCGUUCCCGAUAUGCGUGUGGAGCCUUAAAAAAUUGAUGGUGCCUCUAUGAUUUUCCUAUGAAAGAAUCUGCUCCCCAAUCUCCAUGGAGUGUGCCCAGAAUGCCUCCUGGUUGUGUGAUCCCUUUCGUGACGAUGGAUUUUUCUUUAUGGAUGACGAUCGAUGUGGACUGAUGGUGUGUGUGUCAGAGCCUAAAAUAAAAAAUAAAAAAAUUGAAUCCCUCCUUAUAUGCCGUAAUGUGUUGUUGGAUGUGUGCCCCCCUAAAAAAAUAGGUGCAGGCUCUCUAGAUCUCCAUGGUGAGUGCGUGUGGGCCGCCAUACCUUCCCACCGAGUGCCGAGUGGUGCGUGGUGUCUUGCUGAAUCCUUCACAAAGCUAGAAUCAUGAUGCGCCCUCACAUGCAACCUCCAUCAUCCACGGAAGAAACACAGCAAUCCGCAUGUGGAAGCUCCUUGGAAAAUCCCUUUAUGGCAGCUUUUAUUAUUCUCUUCAAUUGGCAGUCUGUGUCGGCCUGAAUCCUGGAGUAUUGUUGCGUAUUGACUUCUUCUCACAUGGAUGAAUGUGGCUCCCUCUCUCUCUCUCAGAAUUCCCCUUUUUCUUUUCUCACAGUUCCGCAAUCUGCCUCUCCUGGCCAACGGUGCAUACGGACUAUUUUUUAUAUUACGGUGAAGGAGAAUAUCGGAAGAAACAGGAAAGUAAAAUCAAAAUCCAUGAAUGAGUAUGGGAAUAUGGGGAUGUGGUUGUGCAUGGGGAUUCGCUGUGCAUUACUCUUUCCUUUUUCAGUUGUGUGCCUCCUAUCUUUGCCAAAUUUUGGGGAUUGCUCUCAUGGUAAGUUGAUAACAGCUCUUCUCUUAAAAGAUCAGAUGAUGCUCCCUCAUCCAACUUAUUGCCAUUGAAUUUUCAUGCAAAAAUGAAGAGGAAAUACAUGUUAGAACCUUGGAAUAUAAUAACGAAAGAGAAAUCAGGCAAAUUUAAGAAGGAAAAAAAAAAAAAAAUCAAUACAUGCAUGUAUAAGAAAAACUAAAAUAUUAACUCAUGUAAAAUUUUAAAAACAAAAUCACCAACCUCAUGCAUUUUUUUAAGAAUAAUUAAAUAGAUAAAUAAAUAAUUUAAUAAAUAAAUAAAUAAAUCAAAUAUAUGCAAUCAAUAAUCUAAAUACUAAACUAGAAUGUAGUAGUAGUAGUAAUAAUAAUAAUAAUAAUAAUAAAAAUGAAAUAUCGAAUUCAUACAAUUAAAUUUCGAAAAUUCAUUUCAAGCAAUCAGAAAUCAAAAUCAUGCCAAAAUACUCACCUAAAACUCAAAAUCAUGCAAUCAAGAAAAACAAACCUAAGUGAACUAUACCUAGUGAAGUGUCUAAGUGAUCCUAUCCUAGAAAAACAAAAAAAUGGAGCCUAGCCUAAAAAGUACCUAAAUGAAGUGGUGGAAAGUGCCUAACUGACUUGAGUAAAGUCUAACCUAAACUCGAAGGGUGGGCAAGGUCACAAUGAGGAUUCAAAUGAGUCCAUCAACGAAGGAUUCCUAAAGAAGGCUAAAAAAAUUAGCUAUAUAAGUGUUAAUGGGCCACCAAGGGAUGACCACGAGUCAAGAGAGAAGUACAGGAAGACACCUAGUGUAAUAUGUGCUAAGAGGAUAAAAUAGAGAUUCUAUACGUGGAUGUGGAUCAAGUUGUAGGUACUGGAGAAUAAGUUUUUAGAGUAAAACAACUAAGUAAAUCUAUGUAACUUGAUAUCAUAUAAUGGGUUUAAAUUAGCAGUCUUAGACCUCAUGGUUUUUUUAUUUCCAUAGUUAGUAUGAGGGUGUUCCAUGCAAAAAUCCUUGUGCCUUUUUGCUUAUAUUUUGAUUGCAUUGCCUAUCUUUGGUUGAAUCGAUAAUCCCUAACUACUCAUUGGGAAAAAGUUUGUUAUAAUUUAUAAAUAAUUAAUUGAUUUUUUAAAUAUAGCUAUUCACUACCCCUUUAGGUGUUACCCUACUAGACUUCGGGGCUUUUUAAAAAAUUAAUCAUUUGAUACUUUAUGUGGAUUGAUUCUUAUGGAUAAAUAUAAGUUAGUUAAUUUGAAAUUUAUGAUUAGUAUGCCAUAUUCCCUUGAGUUUAUAUAUUGCCAUUUUCCUUCCUUGAUUAGAGACUUGCUAUGUAUAUAUAGGUUUAGUUUUUAAUUCUUCUUUAAGCUCAUAAUUAUUCUUAAUUUAUGAAUUAACCUCAUUCUUGUGAAAGUGUUUCAUAUGCUAUCAAGGUAUUCUUCCUUUCCUUCUCUCUUUGUUUCCAUUAGUAUGUAUGUUUAAUUCUCAUGAUUGAUUUACCUUGCUUUGUUUGAUUUCUAUAUUGUUGUAACUAUGCUAUUUGAUUUUGAGUGAAAUGCACAUUAUGUAUGAGAUUGUUGCUUGUGAACUUUCUUAUUUUAUGAAAGCAUUUGGCAUGCUAAUAAGUUACAUUCUUUCCUUUGUUUUGACUAUUGAUUUGUUGAGUGUGCAUUACUUAACUAAAUGUUCUUUGAUUACACUUUCAUUCAUAUUUUGAUAUAUCCUUGAUUUAUGGUAUCUACUGAUUUACAUUUCAAUUGCCAUAGUUACCUCAAUUUAUUUAGUAGAGGCUUAUUUUAGGACUUAGAGGGGUGCUACCUUGUGGUGCCUUCCCAAUAAGCUGACCCCUAGACUUGAACUUAGUUUUCAAAGACAUGCUUUCCAAAACAAGGAGUCAUUUUUAGGGUUUUAUUUCUUAUUUUGUUUUCCCUCUAAAAAAUAAAUAAAAAUAAGUGAUGACUUUAAUUUUUAUAAAAAUCAAUUUUUAACUAAAGAAACGAGUCUUGCCAUCGAGUGGGAACUCAUAUGAAAAAUAGGGUUCACACUUACCUAAAUUUCCACUAUGAGUGCUAGUUGCAAACUUGUUUUUAGAGGCACAAGUUUCAUAAUCAUCACCAAUAUUCAAGUUAUCUUUUUUAACAAUAAUUGACUUUAGUUUGUUAAUCUAAGGGAAUACCACAAGAAGACUUAGAGUUGGGUUGAAUUCAUAGUUUUUUUUAUUAGAGCACAAAGUAGAGAGAACUUAGAAUGCCAUGGAGGAAGAAAAUGCUUGUUCAUCAAAUACCACAUUGAGUGCUAUAUAAAUUUUAUUAAGGGGCUUAAGCACUUGUAACCAUUGUGUAUAUUACUAUACUCUGAUUGCUAUUUUCUAUUGUCCAAAAUCAGAAGCCCUUUUACCUAAUAACUUUAGUUAAGAAAAAUUAGAGAAAGAAUCACUACAAGCUUUUGUAGUUUUCCAUGUAUCAUCUUGAAGGACUGACCUAUAGAAGCUGUAAAACUAGGUUUAAAAGAUUGCUUACUGUAUAAUUCUUUAAACUAGGAAUGUGUAAAAUUGAUUUGAAUGAAUUUGUAAUUACUAAAAUAACUAAAUUUAAUUACUGAAGAAUUAUUGAAUUCUAAUUCAAAUGAUUAAAGAUUAAAAGGCUCCACAAUCCAACUUUAGGUAUAGGGAUUUAGGCAAAACAAGGGUAUCAAUUUUAGUUAAUCUUAAGGUAUUCAAAAGGUGAGGUUAAAUGAGAUCAACUUGAGUUCAAUUACUCAGGGUUGCAUUAAUAUCCAAACUUUUAAUAUUUUAUUCCAUUUUGAAACACCUAUUAGAUAAAUGAUUUAAAAUCUAGGUUUAUUUCUAAAAAAUUAGGUCUUUACCACUUAGUGUAGCUUUGCCUUAGGGUAUAUAACAAUGACAAAACCUUAGAUAACUAGGGAUUAAGAAUUACUAAGAAUCUCUAGUAUCAAUGAAUGAACAAUUAUACCAUCUCCCAAUUAAAUCUAACUUUUUUUAUUUUGAUGCUAAAUGCCUUUGAUGGUUAGAGAAGUUUUUCUUCAUACAUUUUAUUGAAUGAAUACAAACAUAUAUAUCAGUAUAGAAAUACAAUCAUGUUAUUUAUUUUAGGCUAUGAACUAUCUUAGGUUAAGAAUAUGGUUGAACCUUGUAAAAGAGGAAAAAAUUACAAAAAAUAAAUUUAGCAACCAAUCAACCCUCCAAUUAAGUCUUGAUUGGAAACUCACGCUAACACUUCCCCUCAAGUUGGUGCAUAGAUAUCGCUAAUGCCUAACUUGUCAAGUGAGUUGUAGAAGAUCUUGUUGGAGACGACCUUCGUGAGUAUAAUCGCUAGUUGGUCUUUAGAUUUAACAAAUGAGAAUCGAAUUAUCUUGGCUUCAAGGUUUUGUUGGAUGAAAUGUCGGUCCACCUCAAUGUGUUUAGUACAAUCAUGUUGGAUUAGAUUAUGCGACAUGUUGAUGGUUGCCUUAUUGUCACAAAAUAAGUUCAUUUCGAAAUUGGCAACAAAGCCAAUCUUGGUCAACAAUCUCUUAAGCUAAAGAAGUUCACAAAGUCCUUUGGCUAUUUCUCUUAACUUGACAUCAGCAGUAGAUAAUGCCGCUACUUUUUGCUUCUUGCUCCUCCAUGUGACAAGAUUGCCUCUUACAAAGGUGAAGUAGCCCGACGUAGACUUUCUAUAAAAAAAACUAACUACCACAUCCAUAUGAUUUCUACUAGAUGAGUGCAUAAACUAAUUGACUAUGCUUAUAGCAUAAGCAAUAUUUGGAUGAGUAUGAGAUAAAUAAAUUAAAUUGCCUACUAAUCUUUGAUACCUCUCCUUGUUAGUUGGCACCUGAUCUAGGUACUCUCCAAGCUUGUGAUUCUGGACAAUCAGAGUAUCGAUUGGCUUAUAGUCAAGUAAUCCCACUUUAGAUAAUAAAUCUAGCACAUAUAUCAUUUGAGAAAGAAAUAUACCUUUUCUUGAUCUAGCUACUUCAAUCCCUAAGAAAUAUUUGAGACCUCUAAGAUUCUUCAUUUUAAACUUGGUUGCUAAUCUCUUUCGGAGUCUAGAGAUCUCUUUCUUGUCAUCCCUUGUGAUAAUCAUAUUAUCCACAUAGAUUAUUAAAGUUGUUACUUUUUCCUACCGAUGUUUCAAAAAUAGAAUAUGAUUUUAGCUGUUGUGAUAGAAAUCUUACUUCCUUAUAGCUAAGCUAAAUUGUCUAAACCAAGCACGAGGUGAUUGUUUUAGACCAUAUAAUGAACGUUGAAACUUAUAUACAACCCUUGUUUCUUAGGAAGCCAUGUAUCCUGGUGGAAUAUCCAUAUAAAUCUCUUUCUUAAGAUCAUUGUGAAAAAAUAUGUUCCUUACAUCAAAAUAUUGCAAUGGCCAGUCUAAAUUUGUGGCAAGAGAUAACAAGAACCUAAUAGUAUUUAGUUUUGCCACUAGUGAAAAAGGUCUCUUGAUAGUCUAUGCCAUAUGUUUGUGUAUACCUCUUUGCCACAAGUCUCGUCUUGUAUCUCUUAAUGGAUCCAUUCGCCUUAUGUUUAAUAGAGAAGACCUAUUUGCAUCCUAUUGUCUUUUUUUCUUAUGGCAAUGGAAUAAGAUUCCAUGUUUUAUUUUUCUAUAGCACCUCAAUUUCUUAUUUUAUCACUUGAGCCCACUUUGGAUUUGUUAAGGCUUCUUAUAUUCCAUUGGGAACAUGACAUAUAGAUAAGUUGUGUGCAAACACCCUGAGAGGUUUUGAUAAUAUUUGAGUUAAUACAUGGUUGGCAAUUGGAUAUUUUGAUCUCCUUUCCUCAAAAUCUGAUGAGUACCGAUUUGGGGGCUUUCCACAGUUAUGUCUUAAUUAAAGGUAAGUUAUAACUAAUAGGGGUAUCCAAGUCAUUAAGAGGAGAAGGUGUAAUGGGAAAGCUUACUUUAGGAGUAUUCUAAGGAGACAAGUCGUUGGGUACUGAAGAGUAGGGGUUACUAUGAUUUCAGUUUCCAAUCCAAGUUUAGUUUCCUAUGUAGGGUUAUUGCCACUCCUUACUUGCCCAAUCUUUUGCUUCAUAAUGGUUCUAUUCUCCUCACUAACCACCAUUUCAUUUUGAUCACUCAACUGUCAAGUUGUUUAAUUUUGGUUUGUAUUAUAGUUUAUUCAAAUGUAACAAAAUCCCACCAAUUUUGUUGUUCAUCUUGUAUCUCCUCUUGAACGAAAGAAUUGGACACUAGUGAAGAGAAAAAACUUUCAGACUCCGUAAAAGUAAUGCCCAUGGUAACAUAGGUACGCCUUGUGGUAGGAUUGUAACAUCAAUAUCCCUUUUCUUGUGUGCCAUACCAAUGAACUACACAAGAGUCAAGCUAUUGCAUUGGUUUUUAUGGAUAUGAACGAAGGCAACACAUCCAAAAACUCAAGGAGCGAGGAAUCAACAAGAUAGAAGGUACUAGAGAAAUGUGAAUAGAAAGAACCUGUAAUAGAGUCUUAAAAUUCAACAUCUUUGAGAGCAUAUGGUUCAACAGAUGUACUAUCGUGACCACAACAUUAUCCUAGUACCAGCUUAGCACAUGUGCUCCAAUCAAUAAUACAUGAGUAGUUUCUAGGAUAUGUCUAUUUUUUCACUCGACAACUACAUUUUGUUGUGGUGUUUGAGUAUAGGAGGUUUCAUGAAGAAGACCAGGAUUCUAAAAGCAAGCUUGAAAUUCUUUAUUUAUAUACUCUUUACAAUUUUCAUGAUGAAGAAUUUAAGCUUUAGCUGAAAACAAAGUUUGAAUCAUAGCAUGAAAAGUCCGAAACACACCAAACACCUCAUCUUUAUGUUUCAACAAGUACAACCAAGUCAUUUGAGUACAAUCAUCAACAAGUAUCAUAAACCAACAAAUUCUAGAAAUAGUAGUAAUCGGGGAAGGUUCCCAAACAUCAGAAUGAAUUAAGGUAAAAAGAUUAUCACUUUUAUUCAAGCUUAUUGAAAAGGAUGCACGAUGACUCUUAGCUAAAAUGCAUGUUUCACAUUUAAAAUCUAAAUCAUGUAAAUUAGAAAAUAAUUCUAGAAACACGUACUUCAUAUGACUAAACGAUGGAUGUCCCAAACGCUGAUGCCAUAGCUAAAUCUAUAUUUCCCUUACACUAGUUAACUGUUUCAUCUUAUUUGCUCUACCAAGACUAAGAUCAUCCAUAUAGUAUAACCCCUCUCUCUUAGUAGCACUCCCAAUGAUUUCCUUUGUGAGAACAUCCUAAAACAGAUAAAAAUUAGGGCUAGCCUAUAGAAAAGCAACACAAUUUAAUUCUUCAGUGGCUAGACUUACAAACAUCAACUUAUUUGAGAAGGAUGAAACUAGUAAAUUAUUAGACAAAAAGAGAGGGUGAGAGAGCAACAGUUCGAGUCCCCGUAACUAGACAUUUGACCAUAUUCACAUUGGCAACACCACUUCAUUGUGGUUAGGUAACCUUGAUAAAAUCAUUCGAAUUGAACAUCAUGUGAUCAAUUACCCCCGAAUCAACAAUCCAACCACUGUAAUUAUCUUGAUCAAAACUAAGCAGUGUAGAGCCACAAGUACCUUAAUUAUCAAGAAUAGUUAAAUCGCUUAGAGAUUCCACUUGUGGAAUAAAAGAUAAGUGAGGUUUUGCAUUUAGCAAAGAAACUCGUACCAACUUGCUAUUAGCAUUAGCUUCACGUUGUUUCUGUGCCUUGAGUUUGUUCCACCAUUCUGGAUACCCAUGUAACUUGAAGUAAGUUUCAUGAGUAUGCUUAUGUUCCUAUAAUGUGAAUAACCUUUUUUUUAUUGUGCCUUUGGGGUUGUAUUCAUCUUUCAUUCUCUAAUAGUGGAAGAUCCGAUUUUAGACAUUUGGAGCAUUGAUGGCUAUUAAGGUCCCAUCUUGACUCCUUUAGAGGCCAUAGCAACACCAGGUGUAGGUUUCGUGCCUGAUAUCAUAACAACCUGUCUUAUGUCUCCCUCUUAAACAUGAGCAUAAGCCUAUUCAAUUAUAAGAAAUGGUCGAAUUUGGGGCACAUCAACCCGAAUAUUAUCUAGGCGAUUAUCCAACCCAUCGAGAAAGAUAAAAACUUUAUCUUCUUAUAGGGUCGAAUUAUAUCUUUAUAUAUUAGUGGGACACUCCAUCAGGUUAGGGCGGUGAAAGUCAAUUUCUUUACAUAAGCCUUGAAGACCAUUAUAAUAUGUUUCAAUAGACUUUCUAGUUUGCCUCAUUCUAGUAACACGCCUUUUCAAAUCAUACACUUGAGAUAUGUUAGUUCCAUCAAAAUCGGUUGUAGCAAUCUUAUCCUAUACCAUUUUUGCAGUGGGAAAACAAAUAAAAUUAGUUAUCAAAGUCAGGUCCAUGAAAUUAAUUAACCAUUCUUUCACAAUUGCAUUUUUAGUUCUCUUUGUUCUGAAGGUUAGAUAUGUCGAUGGAAGCUGUGGAAAGUCCCUAUUGAUGUAUCCCAAUUGGUCUUUGCCAGAGAUAUACAUUUCAACAACUUGGGACCAUAAGGCAUAGUUGGUGUCAUCCAACUUAAUGUCAAUCUACACAGUAGAAGAGAUGUAGUUUGGUACUUGGGUUUGAGUCUGAUUCUGGGUCAAGACUUGCGUCAUCUAAGCGCUAAGGCUUCGAGGAUGGUAGUAGUAGAGUUCUCGCCAUGUUGCUAGUAUGCCACCAAGUCAAUUGGUUUCAUCAUAGUUUCUGAUAAGGUUUGGAUUUUUUUUUUUUUUGGUUGUAGUAGAAAACCCUAAGAUUGUUGCUUUGGUACCAUGAUGGUCAGGGAAGUUUUUUCUUCAUAUAUUCUCUUAAGGCUAUAGGAAUUUUUUUAUUUUUAUUUUUAUUUUUCUUGUUCUUUUGUAGUUUCCUAUUUCUUUUGGGUGGAAUAUUGUAAGAUUGGCAUCGAACAAGAUUUCAUUAUAAAAGUAUAAUUCAUUGUCUCUUUUUUGUUACCAUGAAUGUACCAUUAUACUAUGGUGAUCUUGUUUUCUUUAUAUUAAUGAUUCAAGUCAUAGGUAUGAAUAGGAGUAUUUGAUAUAGUCUUUAUUGCUUAUGUUAGGUUUAUUCUAUAUUUCUAUUUCAUUUAUUUUCAUCUAUUGUUAUUAUCAUUUUUCUUCAUUUUCUAGAUGUGAAUAUGGUACUAAGAUGAGACUUCUUAAUAAACUGAAGGUUUUUUUUUUUUAGAAAAUUAAACUCUAAGAAUUAAAAUUAUCUAUAUAAAAAAUAAAAAAUGAAACUUUUUUUCUUAAAAAUAAAUCCGAAUUUCUUUUUAAAAAAAAUCAAAAAACUUAUUUUAAAACUAUAAAAGAUCUUUUUUUUUAUAUAUAAAAUAAAACAGUAAUAUUGUUUUUUAAAUAAAUUGUAAAUACAAUAGAAAAUCAUUUUUUUUCAAUGUGAAAGUCAUUUUUUAAGUAAAAUAUAAAAAUCAAUUUAUUUAAUAGAAAAAUAAAACCUUUUUUAAAAAAAAAUAAAAUUGCAAAGAAUUUUUUAAAAAUAAAAUUGUAAAACUUUUUUGUAAAUAAAAUUUUAAAAACCAUCUUUUAAUAAUAAAAAUAUUUUUUGGUAAAUAAAAUUAAAUUGGAUUUUCAUACUUUCUCAAAUUUGGUACACAUCCUAAGGUAGCAUCGACUAAGGCAAUUAGCUACUAGAUUUGUGAUUUGUGGAGAGUCACUAUAUAGACAUUUGACUAUCGGUAUCUUUUCGUUAUGCUUGGAUAGAGCAUUUGCUAAUUAGGUGAUAAGAGAGGUUCACGUGAGAGUUUGUGGACUAAUUAUGUUUUGUUGAUCAUGGAGAUAGAUUAUUGUAGUUUAUCCAGAGAUACCUAGAGUGUUAGAUGCAUGGUGACCUCAUUCAUGUUCCACCAUAUGAUUUACAUGUUUUGACCUCACCAUGACCUUUUUCAAUAUAGGACCUUGGCAUUAUUGGAAAAAUUUCACCAAAAGCUUCCAAUGGCCAUGAGUUCAUCCUUGUUGCCAUUGAUUACUUCACCAAGUGGGUUGAGGCAACCUCAUAUGCAAAGUUGAAUGCAUCUAGAGUUGCAACUUUAUUAUGUCACAUAUUAUUUGUUGUUAUGGGUUCCUUAUGAGUCAAUUUCUUAUAGAAGAGUGCAUUUUAAUGCUAAGGUUGAUACUUUGUUAUAAUGGUAUGGCAUUCAACACCAUCGAUCGUCUGCUUACAUGCCUCAAACUAAUGGGACAAUAGAGGUUACAAAUAAGAACAUUAAGGGGAUUAUGAGAAAGAUGGUUGAGACUUCUCAAGAGUAGUAAAAGAAACCCCCUUUCACAUUGUAGGCAUAUCGCACCUCAUUCUGCACCUUUAUGUGAGCUAUGUAUUAUUCUUUAGCAUAUGCCAUGGAGGCAAUACUACCUAUUAAGAUAAAGAUGAGAUAAUUAAGGGCAGUGAUAGAAAAAAUAGAUAUUUGAGAUAAUAUGAUAGAGCAAACGAUUUGAUCAACUUAUUUUCUUAAAUGAGAGGAGAUUGAGGGUAACAGAUCAAGUUCAUGCUUAUCAAAGGAAGAUAACAUGCAAAAAGCGAGUUUAGCCUAAAUAGUUAUAGAAAGGUGAUUUAGUGUUGAGGUUCUCAAAGGAUUACUUAGAGAACCCCACAACAAGUUUAGGCCUAAUUGGAGUGGACCUUACAUUAUUAAAGAGUUAAUCUCAUAGGAGGUUGCAUGGUUGAUGGAUUUGGAUGGAAAUCUAUUUUUGGAGCUAACCAAUGUGGAUCAACUAAAAAAGUACUAUGUUUGAGACCAUGGUUAGAGGAUGAGUAACCUAUUAAGAUAGAGUCCUUAAAAGCAUGAUAAGAUAUAAUAAAAUUUUAGAUUUUAUUCUUUAUUAAUAAAAUUUCCAAUUCACUUUUAUCCUUCUUCAUUUCAUGCAUUAUAUCUUAUAAGCAUUCUGAUAUGCAUCUCUUACAUUAUAUGUGACUUGGGUGCAUUAGGAGUUGCGUGAAAUAUCCAAGCCAUGGGUUCCUUGCAAGUAAAUGACUUGUUCACAACCACUUUGUAGGUCUAGGCAAUCUAUUAGAGGUUGUAGUAUACUACCUUCUAAUUGGAGAGAUAGUUGGUCUUGGCCAUCGAGAUGAGUUUCCUAUGGUAAGUGAUUCAUGCCUAAUUGGCGUGCCAGCUGAUUCGUGUCUAGCUGGUGCUCCUUGUUUGAGGGAGUAAUCAACAAAAUUUAUAACCUAUAACACCAUAUACUAGGGUAGCAAAGAAAAAGCUACUAUAGUAUAGUGGCUCUAGGAUCGUUCACUGGGAAGGAUUAACAAGCUAUCAAUGAUACCAAUUCCAAGUGAAUUGGUCUUGUUUCAUUUCAAGGUUAGCUUAAGAAAUAAAACACAAACUUUGAUUGGUAAAGAUUUAAACUAACUAACAUAACAAGUACUCGGAAUAACUUAGGAAGAAAAGCAUUCCUUGGAGAGUUAGGUUCACUGGGGUGGUUCCUCAUGCAAAAGACAUAGCUCCGGUCAGAUGGUUCCUUUCCUCGCGUUAGAGAUUCAACAUAUAGUCAAUUCUCUAACCGGUGUUGUACAGAUACCUCCUUCAAUUAGAUUUCACUUUAAUUCUCUCACUGAUGCAACUUGCAAUGGUUUAAGCCUCUCACUAAGCCGUAACCAUUCAAGGUGAUCUUUAACCUUGGAUUACCCAUCAAAAGCUCGCAAGAGAUAACUAAUGGAUGUCUCCUUGGAGUCCAAAAGCUUACCAAGUGUUGGCUAUUCUAGAAAAUCCUACCCUAAAGUCACCUCCCAGAGGCUCGCAAGGGGUAAACUAGUGCAUUUCCAUGGUUGGAAAUCACUUUCCUUACCAAGUGUUGGCCCAGGUGACUCUAAGGUGUUUUAAGUUAACUAAAAACAUAGAAAUCACUAAAGGAUUUCACUUCCUCUUUAUUAAUAGCUAAAACCACAAAGCUUUGCAUUCUUGCACUUGGAACCUUCCCCGACAACCUUAGCUCCAAGGAAUUAGAGGUUUAGUUACUCAUUCUCUGGGGAAAACUCCUCAGAGAGUUCAUAACUUAGUAAGAAAAUAAAAAUACAAAGUGAGAAGGUAAGACAAUACAAAGAAAAUAAAAAUACAAAGUGAGAAGAUAAGGCAAUACAAAGAACUGAACUUUACUUGCUUACCCAAAACUUUACAAAAUGAUCUCCUCUCUAAGAACAGGCUCCCGAGAGGUAUAUAUAUGAACAUAAUAUAAAACUUAUUAUUACAUAGAUAUUUACUCUUUUUUAUUAACUUAAAAGUUAAGGAAUCUUGUAAUUGGUGGCUUACAAGGAGUAUUUUGGGAUUUAGACAACAAAAAUCUGAUGUAAAAUAUCUCCCAAUGUCGGUAGCAAAUAUCGGGAUGCUCCAAGAACCAUUUCGCAAGAGAAAAUGGUGUUUGCGAGAUUUCGCAGGCACUCAAGAAGGGCUGCGAAAUCAUUUUGCAACAACAUGCUAUCUUCGCAGGGUUGCGAAGUUGGCUUCCACCUUGAGGUUCUCAGCUCCCAGCUUGCGGCAUAUAUCGGGCAACUUCAGAAGGAAAUACACCCUACUGUACAAAAAGGCUGCGAAAUCACUUCGCAACAAAAGGGUGAUUUCGCAGCACUUUGCAAAAUGCUUCCUUCAGCUUGGAGUGAUUGGCUUCCACUGGCUGCAACUUCUUCGUUUCAACUCUGAAUUGCACUCCGUUUGAAGCAUUGGAUUGUUGACUUCUUGAGCUUUGAAAUGGUAUAUAGAAUGCAUCAAUUGGACUCCAGAAAGUGCUCCAAAAGUGGCUGCUACAACUGUCAUCAAGAAUAUGCUUCAUGGCAGAUUCUCUUUACUUUUUCUCCUUGCAAAUGCGGAUUUAUUCUUGGCAAAUGACUUCCAAGCUUUACCCAAGGUUCCUCAAAACUCUCCUCAAACUUGAAUUGCUUUGGUGAUCAAAUUACUAACAAAAACACCAAAACUUACAUAAAGUGAUUAAAAUUGCUUUCAAGGGUCCUUAACAUGCCAAUUGAGUUAAAAGACCAAAACUACUACUCAAAAGUGUUUAAAAGGAUUAAUUAUAAGCUAUCAAAUAACACUUUUUGAGUAGUAAUCACUCCCCCUAACCGACAUAUUGCUAGUCCCUUAGCAAUAUAGGAAAGAAAAAUUGAAAAUAAAAAGCAAACUAACCUAUAAUGUACAACAUCAUGCUGAUAAAAAACAAUUCUCAAGUGGCAUGAUGAUCUAAUUCUCUCAUGAAACCUUAAAGAAAUAUAAAAUCAAAUUUCAACAAGAGUUAUAACAAACUAUGCUAAACACUGUCAAACAAGGGAAUGCAUUAUGCAAACUGAAGUUUUAAAAUCAUUUCCACUUUCAAAGAACCAAACUUUAUUCUUCCUCAAAAAUCUAUGUGUACUGGUUCCUUAGCUUCCGAGAAUAAUAUGCUAAACUAAUCUCUCCCCCCAACCUAUCUUUUUUUUCAACACUUAGCAAACUGACCAAAAUCAAUAAAGAAAGAACACACUUUUUUUUUUUUUUUUUUUAAGGAGGCUUUAUGGGGUAAUCUUUCUGAAUUGUCCAUGUAAUGGGGGUCCAUCGAUGACUCCCAACCAAUUAAGGUUUAGGGCAUCAAGUUUUAAGGAUCUUUCAACCACUAACUCCUCGGAUUUUUCCCCGGACUUUUGAGAAUGAAUUUUUUAUACCCAAGCAUCUACCACAUGCUAACUCCACCUAUCCACCCUUGUAACGAGCAUUGAGGUCGGUGACUCCCAACCAAUUAAGGCUUAGGGCACCAGGCUUCAAAGAUUUUCACCAUAUACCCCUCAGACCUUGCUCGGGUUUUAAGGCAAGCAAACAACUUUCUUUAUUUCAAAGGCUCAUUGGCCUUUUGCAAGGUGUUUCAACUUUAUAAAAUGAGGUCAAAUAUACCAAGUCCCAAAAUUAUCCUAAGUCAAGAGGGAAAUAGCUUUUCAUGUUAUAAUCGGAAUCUAAUGUGCAGUGUGUGAAUAGCUUAAAGUGGAAGAACUAAAAUUCAAUUUCAAUAGAAGCUUCAACAAUUGAACCACUUUAGUGAGCAUAAUCCCAAUACUCUAAAGUCAAGUGAAAAAGCAACAGUUCAAUUUUCCUCCUGUUUUAUUUUGAAAAUUUUUCCUUCAAGAAUCCAUGGGAGAGAAUAAAGUAAAAAGGAGUAAAAAGCCAAAAACCUACACACUAAUUUACCAAAAUAAUUUGCAUUACUAAAAAAGGCUUAGCAUACUUCAUUUUAUUUAGCAUACCUUCCCUUCCUCAUUUCCCCCCAACUGAACUGAGCAUUGUCCUCAAUGUGAUAUGAGUGAUUGUAAUUAANNNNNNNNNNNNNNNNNNNNNNNNNNNNNNNNNNNNNNNNNNNNNNNNNNNNNNNNNNNNNNNNNNNNNNNNNNNNNNNNNNNNNNNNNNNNNNNNNNNNAAUUAAGGUUUAGGGCAUCAAGUUUUAAGGAUUUUUCAACCACUAACUCCUCGGAUUUUUCCCCGGACUUUUGAGAAUGAAUUUUUUAUACCCAAGCAUCUACCACAUGCUAACUCCACCUAUCCACCCUUGUAACGAGCAUUGAGGUCGGUGACUCCCAACCAAUUAAGGCUUAGGGCACCAGGCUUCAAAGAUUUUCACCAUAUACCCCUCAGACCUUGCUCGGGUUUUAAGGCAAGCAAACAACUUUCUUUAUUUCAAAGGCUCAUUGGCCUUUUGCAAGGUGUUUCAACUUUAUAAAAUGAGGUCAAAUAUACCAAGUCCCAAAAUUAUCCUAAGUCAAGAGGGAAAUAGCUUUUCAUGUUAUAAUCGGAAUCUAAUGUGCAGUGUGUGAAUAGCUUAAAGUGGAAGAACUAAAUUCAAUUUCAAUAGAAGCUUCAACAAUUGAACCACUUUAGUGAGCAUAAUCCAUACUCUAAGUCAAGUGAAAAGCAACAGUUCAAUUUCUCCUGUUUUAAUUUGAAAAUUUUUCCUCAAGAUUCAUGGAGAAUAAAGUAAAAAGAGUAAAAAGCAAAAACUACAACUAAUUUACCAAAAUAAUUGCAUUACUAAAAAGGCUUAGCAUACUUCAUUUUAUUUAGCAUAACUUCCUUCCUCAUUUCCCCCCAACUGAACUGAGCAUUGUCCUCAAUGUGAUAUGAGUGAUUGUAAUUAAAGGGAUGAAGUGGUACCUCCUGAGUGAUAUCAAUUUCGCAUAUUGAUUGGAGAAAUCACAUGUUUAAAAAAGAAUAGAAUAUGUGAGAAAAGGAAAUAAGGAUAACUUAAUGCUAAAGGUUAACAAGAAAUAUUAAACUUGUAUUACUUUUAAUCUAUUUGAGUACAAUGUAAAAGAAAAGCAAUACAAACAAUCCCAAAUAUAGUACCAAAAUAAUGGGAUUUCUUUCCAACUAAAAAAAAUGAAAUACAUAAAAGAAAAGCAAUAUAUAUAUAUAUAUAUAUAUUGAUGAGUGGGUGGUGCUGGGGCUAGGCAGAUGGGUCUGCCUCUUCAGCUGGUGCUUCAGAUGGGGCCUGAGGCUCUGGAGGAUGAGAGUGUGGCUCUGCUGUGGUAGAUGUAGAGGGCUCAACAGCUGGUGGCAGGUCGAAAUGAAGCUGGAGCUGCCUUAAGAUGGCAGUGUGUUGAGCCUGAGUGGCCAACAUCUGCUCUUGGCAUGCUCUAAUGGCUGCCAUCUCUUGAGCAAGACUGCUCUGAGAUGCUGUGAGGGUCUCCAAUGCACGGCACAACUCUCGAUAUUCAGAAAUGGGUAUGGCCAUCCUCGGCUCAACUGAAGUGGAUGCUGAGAUGAAGCUGGAGUAGCUGGUGGAGCUCUGGGAAUGGCAGGAACAGCAACUGUUAUACCCUCAGGUAUGUGUCAUGGGGAUGCUCUCCUUGCAGCUGGUUGUGGGCGCUCAGGCUGAUCAACUCUAUAAGCUGUCAUGUUGUUCCAUUUGUUAAGAGUGAAUAGCUCACGUCAAAUGCGCUUGCGCUCCAAUUGAGGCUUAGAAGGAUACCCCAAGUGCUCCAGAAUUUGGCAUAGCAGCCUUGGAAAGAGGAGGGGAAUGACAUCAGCCCUCUGAAGCUUCUUUUUGUGUACCUUUCUUCGAAAUAGAGAAGGGCUGCCAGAAUUAGAUGAUGAGGCCCAAAGAAAAAUCCCUCAGACAUCUUGUACAGGGCUUCUAAGAGGACUUCUCUUCUUUGAGUCCAAUGCUGCAGAGGGUAGAGAUUAUGACGCAAAAAUACAUCAAUCAGAAACAUGAUUGGAGGAAGCUCCCCCCUCAACAGAUGUGAUCGCGUAGCAGCUCAUCUGGACAGGGUGUGCACCAUCUCCAGCUCAGUAUGACUGGUCCAAGCUCUAAAAUCAUUGAAAUGGCUUGGCUCAUAGGGAAUCCGCAAGGCUUUAGCUAUAUGGCGUGCUCCCAAUAUGCCAUGCCUCCCAUCAAUAGUGAAAUGAAUUAAAGUUGGAUUCCUGACCUGUUUGGUUGUCAUGGAUUGAUAGAAAUCCAUGGCUACCCUUGGGUAGAAAAAGUCUCUCGGAGUCAGUAGGUGCUCCAUGUGGUAUCUCCUCAGCAGGUUGAAUGACUGUGCAAGCUCCGGCUGCAAUCGGAAUGCGGCUAUGUCAAAGCACAGCUCGGAGUGGAAUGGACGAGCUCUACAAUCCAAAUUUCCCUCAAUUGGGGGCUGAGUUAGCAUUGGCCUCUUGAUUACUUCUUCCGGAGCUAUUUCAGCUGGAAUUUGGGGCUUUGGAAUUGGUGGCUGAGGCUCCUGUGGUUCUGCUUGCGGCACCGGAGAUGGCACCGGAGGCUGAAUUGGCGAGGGAAUCGGCGAGGGAACUGGAGUUGGAACCGACGAGGGCUCUAGAGAUUGCUCAGUCAAGUCAAUGGGUUCUGAGCUUUCAACCCUGGGUCUCUUUUGUAGUGGCCGACCCCCUGACCUGGUAAGGUAACGCCUCGCCGGCGGCGCGGGCUUCACUGGAGGAGGAACUGCUCUUGGCUGCGAAGGCUUAGAAACGGGAUCUGGAACUGGCUCCUUUCGCAAGCUUUGCUUGCGACUUGAAGGAGAGGAAGACUUGGCCCCUCUGGUUCGCGCCAUUUCGGGUUACCGAAAUUUGGCCGGAGUUGCGGAUCGGAGAAAAUGACCGGAGACUUGCGCGGUGAGGCUCGAGGAAGAAGAUGAACAGCCUGCGAGAAUGGCGCGCUCUGAUUUUGAAACCCUUUUCACAGCUCAAAUGACCGGUAUAAAUAGGAAUAACGGAAGACUAAGGGUCAGUUUGAGUUUCGCAGAAUAAUGCCAAUUUCGCAGCAAAACGCCAUUUUCGCAGCCACUUCGCAAUGCAUUUCGCAGCUGCGAAAUUAAUGUCACUAUGCUGCGAAGUGGCACACGUGUGCCAAAAUCGCUUUCGCAAUUGCGAAAUACCCUGCGGAAUGAGACUUUUGUUGCGAAAUUUGGGCUUUACCGCUUCGCAGCCGUUUCGUAGCUGCGAAAUGGGGGUUCCUGUGCUGCGAAGUGGCACUCGUGUGCCAAACUCGCCUUCGCAGCUGCGAAAAUUCUCGCAGAGAAUCCCAAAGUGUUGCGGAAUGAUUUGACAACAAAAUGCUCAUUUCGCAGAAGUUUUCUUUAGGCUGCGAAAUCUCGUAGAGCUCUGUUUUCACUCUGCUUUUGCUCCGAUUUUGAUCCGAUUUUUUUCCUUUCAAUUUCCUUGAAAUUUCUUCCACCUGGGAUCAUUCAAAAAGAUUAAAACACACCUAAAAACAUGAUUUAAGAUAAAAAACUAAGAUCAAAUGUAUGGAAAAACUUGAAAAUUUACAAAAUCUACAAAAAAUUUUGGACUGUGGUAAAACCACGUCCAGUAAACCCUUCUUUGCUUAGGCUUUUUGAGGCUCAAGGAGGUUGAUUUCCUCAUUUUCUGGUUUGAAUGGCUCCAUGAAUGGCUUAAGACGAUAUCCAUUGACUCUAAAGCUAUCCUUGCCAUUUGAAUUCAAUAAUUCCACCACUCCAUUGGAAUAUACUCGGUGAAUAAUGAACGAACCUAUCCACCUUGACUUGAGCUUCCCAAGAAAGAUAUGGAGUCUUGUGUCAUACAAUAAAACUCUUUGUCCUUCCUGAAAUUCCUUGUUGGAGAUGAGUUGAUCAUGCCACUUCUUCAUCCUCUGUUUUGCAACUUUGGAAUUGAUAUAAUCAUUAUUUCUUAAUUCCUCCAUCUCAUUAAGGUCUAGAUAUCUCUUUUCUCCGGCUCUGAUCAAGUCCAUGUUCAGCUUCUUUAUUGCCCACCAAGCUUUGUAUUCAACUUCCACAAGGAGAUGACAUGCUUUGCCAUAGACUAGACGAUAGGGAGACAUGCCAAGAAUAGUCUUAUAAGCUGUUCUAUAUGCCCACAAUGAAUCAUGAAGCUUAAUAGACCAAUCCUUUCUGCUGGAGUUCACUACUUUCAUCAAUAUAUUCUUUAUUUCCCUGUUAGCUAGCUCAACUUGCCCGAAAGUUUGAGGAUGAUAAGGUGUAGCCACCUUAUGCUUCACUCCAUACUUGGAUAACAGAGCUUCAAAAGGUUUGUUACAAAAAUGAGCACCUCCAUCACUGAUUAUGGCUUUGGGCACCCCAAAUCUUGAGAAAAUGUUCUCUUUAAGAAACUUGAGAACCACCCUGUGAUCAUUUUGUUUACAGGGGAUUGCCUCAACCCACUUAGAAACAUAAUCCACCCCCACCAAGAUGUAAGAAUUACCAAAAGACAUUGGGAAAGGUCCCAUGAAGUCAAUGCCCCAUACAUCAAAUAACUCAACUAUUAGAAUGGGGUUCAUAGGCAUUUGAUUUCUUUUUGUUAACUUUCCAAGCCGUUGGCAUCUAUCACAACUCCUACACAUGAUGUGGGCAUCUUUGAAAAGAGAUAGCCAGGUAAACCCUGAUUGCAACACCUUCAUACCUGUUUUCUGAGAGGCAAAGUGGCCUUCACAUGCAUUCUCAUGACAAUGAGAUAGAAUCCCUUGCUGCUCAUCUUCAGGGACACACUUCCUUAUGAUCUGAUCUGCACAAUACUUAAAAAGAAAGGGCUCUUCCCAAUAAUAAGCAUGAAUUUUGGCAAAGAAGUGCUUCCUGUCCUGUGCAUUCCACUCACUUGGAAUUUCACCAGUUACUAAAUAAUUAACAAUAUGAGCAUACCAAGGAGUUUUCACUAGGAACAUGAGUGAUUCUUCAAGAAAAUCAUCAUUAAUAGACAAGGGAUGGGAAUUAUGUGCUAUAACUAACCUCGAAAGGUGGUCAGCUACCACAUUCUCCACUCCUUUCUUAUCUUUGAUUUGGAGAUCGAAUUCUUGUAACAAAAGAAUCCAUCUAAUCAACCUUGCUUUUGCAUCUUGCUUUGUCAAUAAAUACUUCAAGGCUGAAUGGUCAGUGAAGACAAUGAUGAAAGACCCCACUAAAUAAGCACGAAAUUUGUCCAAAGCAAAUACCACAACUAACAAUUCUUUCUCUGUAGUUGUGUAGUUCCUUUGAGCUUCAUUCAGUGUUUUACUUGCAUAGUAAAUCACAUAGGGCUUCCCAUCUUCCCUUUGGCCAAGCACAGCUCCUAUAGCAAAGUCACUGGCAUCACACAUCAGUUCAAAAGGUAAUUUACCAGUUAGGGGCUCUCACUAUUGGAGUUGUUGUUAAAAAUUUCUUCAGUUGAUCAAAGCUUUUUUGACAUCUUUCAUCCCAUAUAAACUUAGCAUCCUUAGCUAACAGCUCAGAAAGAGGUUUUGAAAGACUUGAAAAACCUUUUAUAACUCCUAUAGAACCCUGCAUGGUCAAGGAACUGCCUUACUCCUUUUACAGUUGUUGGGGAUGGUAAUUUGACAAUAAGCUCCACCUUUGCUUUAUCAACUUCAAUGCCUUUUUCAGAGAUGAUAUGGCCAAGGACAAUUCCUUGACGUACCAUAAAAUGGCAUUUCUCCCAGUUGAGCACCAGGUCUUUUUCAAUGCAUCUGUGAAGAACUGCUUCCAAAUUAACUAAACAUUCCUCAAAUGUACCUCCAUAUACGGUGAUGUCAUCCAUGAAAACCUCCAUAAUUCGCUCCACCAUAUCACUGAAAAUACUCAACAUACAUCUUUGACAUGUAGCAGGUGCAUUGCAUAAACCAAAAGGCAUUCUCCUAUAAGCAUAUGUUCCAAAUGGACAUGUAAAAGUGGUCUUUUCCUGAUUUGCCACAUCAAUUUCAAUCUGAAAAUACCCUGAAUACCCAUCCAAGAAGCAAUAGAACGGAUGUCCAGAGACUCUCUCCAGCACUUGGUCAAUAAAUGGCAAUGGAAAAUGAUCUUUCCUGGUUACAGCAUUCAACUUUCUAUAAUCAAUACACACCCUCCAACCUGAAGUGAGACGUGUAGUAAUUUCUUCUCCUUUUUCAUUCUGAACCACUGUGAUCCCUGACUUCUUUGGUACCACUUGAGUAGGACUCACCCAAGGGCUAUCAGAUAUAGGGUAAAUGAUUCCUGCUUGAAGUAGCUUCAGCACCUCAGCUCGCACCACCUCUUGUAGAUGAGGAUUCAAUCUUCUUUGAAGUUGACGAAUUGGCUUUGCUUCCUCCUCCAUAUAUAUAUGAUGAGUACAAACUAAAGGACUAAUGCCUUUCAAGUCGGAUAUUUGCCGUCCUAUUGCCUUCUUACACCUCUUGAGAACUUCCAUUAAACAAUUCUCUUGAUGAUUGGUCAGAGAUGAAGAUAUCACAACAGGACAUUGAUCAUUUUCUUCAAGAUAUGUAUAUUUCAGCUCCACAGGUAAAGGCUUCAGAUUGAGUUUUGGAGUUUCUUUUUCAGCAGCUGCCUCUUCUUCUUUAUUGAACAAAGGUAGAAUUUCUUCUAUCUUUCUCCAACUUUGUAGAGUAGCAAGCACAGUAGGAGAUUUAGACAAACCUUCCUCAAAAUCCACAAGACCUUCAUUCAACUUGUCUUGCAUAUUUUGAUUACAGUGCUCCUCCACCAAAGUAUCAAUAAUGCACAACUCUUCUGGACUUUCUUCUUCUUCCGGAGUGAUUUGCUUUUUAGACAUAUAGAAAAUAUUGAGAUCCAGUGCCAUGUUGCCAAAAGUGAGUUGCAUCAGCCCAUUCCUGCAAUUGAUGAUUGCAUUUGAGGUAGCAAGAAAUGGCCUUCCAAGGAUGAUAGGAACUAAAUUAGCUUCCUUUACAGUAGGAUCUGUAUCAAGAGCAAUAAAAUCUACUGGAUAGUAGAAAUUAUCCACUUGAACCAAGACAUCCUCAAUUACCCCCCUUGGAAUUUUUACUGAUCUAUCUGCUAGAGAUAGAGUGAUUGCUGUUGGCUUCAAUUCCCCAAGUCCCAAUUGCUUGUAGACGGAAUAUGGAAGCAAAUUCACACUUGCCCCCAAAUCUAACAAGGCUUUUUCCACUAUCUUUCCUCCAAUCAUGACUGAAAUGGUAGGACUUCUCGGGUCUUUGUACUUCAAAGGAGACUUACAUUGUAAGAUUGCACUUACUUGCUCAGUCAAGAAGGCUUUCUUGUUUACAGUCAACCCUCUUUUGAUAGUACAUAAGUCCUUAAGGAAUUUUGCAUACGUUGGAACUUGUUUAAUCAUAUCCAGUAGUGGAAUAUUGACUUUCACUUGUCUCAAUACUUCAAGGAUUUCAGCUGCAUUUCUAAUCUCCUUUUUCCCAUGUAAUGCUUGAGGAAAAGGUGGAGAGGUUGAUUUCUUCAGCAUUUCUUCCUUCAUAAGUUCCUUCUCUGGAAUUGCAUUCAUUGUUAAAUCAGAGUCCUUCUUUUCUUCACUAAUCUCACUCUCUUUAUAUUCCAUUUCCUUCCCUUUCUUUAUCUCUUCUUCAUUCUCAACAUGUGGCUCGGAUGUUGGCUUCUCAAUUUUUUUUACCACUCCUUAGAGUGAUCAAGGCUUUGACAUCUUUCGUCUGCGAUGAUUCUCCCUCUUGGCUUUCCACUUCAUGAACACCUUUGGGAUUUUGGUGAGGUUGAGAAGGAAAUCUUCCCUUUUCUUGUAGUGUGUUCAAAUUUAUAAGCCUUGAAAUUGAAUAUUGGAUGUUAUCAAACUUUUGGUUCAUAUCAUUUUGCAUUCCAUCCAUCCUUUUAUUCAAAGUACUCUCCACUCUGUCAAUUCUUUGAUUGAUUUGAGCAUUGGUGGCUUCUUGGUUUCCAACAAAAUCUCCCACUACCUUGCUGAGAUUAGCCAUUGCUUGUUCAAGACUUGAAGAUUGUUGAGAUGGUGGAUCCGGCUGUUGGUAUUGAGUUGCUCUGGCCUUCCAUGAGAAAUUUGGAUGAUUCCUCCAACUUGAGUUGUAGGUAUUUCCAUAAGGCGCAUUGUUAUUGGACCUGAAUUGUCCAACAACAGUUGCUUGAUCUCUAAACAUUUCCCUUUCAGAAGAAAUUGUAGGGCAUUCUUCCACCAAAUGUUCAUAUGAUUGACAAUUAGGACACAGCUUCACUUGCACUGGUGCUUCAGCAACAGCUUGCACUUCAUGUAUUCUUUUCAGCUCCAGCUCCUCCAAUCUUCUUGUCAUAGCUGCCAACUUUGCUUUCAUAUCAUCAUUUUCUUUCAAGGUAUACAUCCCAGCCUUUACAUUGAAAGCAUUCAUUUGAGACUUCAUCUUACCCACUUCUCCUUUGGUUGGUUCAUCCCAUCCCCUUGAAACAUCAGCUACAUAGCUCAAGAAAUCCAUAGCUUCCUCUGGAUUUUUGCUCAUGAAAUCUCCUCCACACAUUGUCUCGAGGAGUUGCUUCAUUGAGGAGGACAUACCAUCAUAAAAAUAGCUCACCAAUAGCCAAGUAUCAAAGCCAUGGUGAGGGCAAGCAUUUAUAACUUCCAUAUAUCUUUCCCAACACUCAUAGAAUUUCUCAUUCUCUUUAGCUGAGAAGUUUGAAAUUUGCCUUUUCAAGCCAUUUGUUCUAUGAGUGGGAAAAAAUUGCUUGAGGAAUUCAGCUUGUAAGUCAGUCCAAGAACGAAUACUCCUUGGCCUUAAAGAAUUAAGCCAAAUUUUGGCCUUAUCCUUUAAAGUAAAAGGAAAUAAUUUAAGCCUCAUCAAAUCAAUUGAAGCUCCUCCCUCUUGGAAUGUAUUACAAACAUCUUCAAAUUCCUUGAUGUGUGCAUACGGAUUCUCACUUUCCAUCCCAUGGAAAGUUGGUAGAAGUGGAACAAGAUACGGUCUGAUCACUAGCUGCUUUGUAGGGGGCACUAUACAUGAUGGUGCACUCAUACGAGGUGGAUGCAUGUGGUCCCUCAUUGAUCUGAAUUCAUUAAGGUUGUCUUGACGACCUUGGUGGCUAUGCUGAUCUUCAGGUGUAGUUUCCAUGAUAUUCAAGCUUAAUUCGAAUUCUUUUCUCUGAGGUGUAUCACACUUAACAAGCCUUCCUUCACUGUUUCGUAUCCACUUUGGCAUACACAACUAGUAUCUAUCUGCAACUUAAAUGAAAAUAAAGGACAACAACAGAAACAGGGCUACAACAAAUAAAUUAAACUAGGCUAAAUUCUAAAAGAUAAACUUGGAUUAUGAAUAAAUAAAGAAAGAAUGAGAAUUAGUAAAGUGAAAGAAACGUUACCAACUUGUGAUGAAAAUCACAAGUGCUCAAAAAUGGUAUCACUAUAAACUUGACACCUUCCCCGGCAACGGCGCCAUUUGAUUCAUGCCUAAUUGGUGUGCCAGCUGAUUCGUGUCCAGCUGGUGCUCCUUGUUUGAGGGAGUAAUCAACAAAAUUUAUAACCUAUAACAUCAUAUACUAGGGUAGCAAAGAAAAAGUUACUAUAGUAUAGUGGCUCUAGGAUCGUUCACUGGGAAGGAUUAACAAGCUAUCAAUGAUACCAAUUCCAAGUGAAUUGGUCUUGUUUCAUUUCAAGGUUAGCUUAAGAAAUAAAACACAAACUUUGAUUGGUAAAGAUUUAAACUAACUAACAUAACAAGUACUCGUAAUAACUUAGGAAGAAAAUCAUUCCUUGGAGAGUUAGGUUCACUAGGGUGGUUCCUCAUGCAAAAGACAUAGCUCCGGUCAGAUGGUUCCUUUCCUCGCGUUAGAGAUUCAACAUAUAGUCAAUUCUCUGACCGGUGUUGUACAAAUACCUCCUUCAAUUAGAUUUCACUUUAAUUCUCUCACUGAUGCAACUUGCAAUGGUUUAAGCCUCUCACUAAGCCGUAACCAUUCAAGGUGAUCUUUAACCUUGGAUUACCCGUCAAAAGCUCGCAAGAGAUAACUAAUGGAUGUCUCCUUGGAGUCCAAAAGCUUACCAAGUGUUGGCUAUUCUAGAAAAUCCUACCCUAAAGUCACCUCCCAGAGGCUCGCAAGGGGUAAACUAGUGCAUUUCCAUGGUUGGAAAUCACUUGCCUUACCAAGUGUUGGCCCAGGUGACUCUAAGGUGUUUUAAGUUAACUAAAAACAUAGAAAUCACUAAAGGAUUUCACUUCCUCUUCAUUAAUAGCUAAAACCACAAAGCUUUGCAUUCUUGCACUUGGAACCUUCCCCGGCAACCUUAGCUCCAAGGAAUUAGAGGUUUAGUUACUCAUUCUCUGGGGAAAACUCCUCAGAGAGUUCAUAACUUAGUAAGAAAAUAAAAAUACAAAGUGAGAAGGUAAGGCAAUACAAAGAACUGAACUUUACUUGCUUACCCAAAACUUUACAAAAGGAUAUCCUCUUUGAGAACAGGCUCCCGAGAGGUAUAUAUAUGAACAUAAUAUAAAACUAAUUAUUACAUAGAUAUUUACUCUUUUUUACUAACUUAAAAGCUAAGGAAUCUUGUAAUUGGUGGCUUACAAGGAGUAUUUUGGGAUUUAGACAACAAAAAUCUGAUGUAAAAUAUCUCCCAAUGUCGGUAGCAAAUAUCGGGAUGCUCCAGGAACCAUUUCGCAAGAGAAAAUGGUGUCUGCGAGAUUUCGCAAGCACUCAAGAAGGGCUGCGAAAUCAUUUUGCAACAACAUGCUAUCUUCGCAGGGUUGCGAAGUUGGCUUCCACCUUGAGGUUCUCAGCUCCCAGCUUGCGGCAUAUAUUGGGCAACUUCAGAAGGAAAUACACCCUACUGUACAAAAAGGCUGCGAAAUCACUUCGCAACAAAAGGGUGAUUUCGCAGCACUUUGCAAAAUGCUUCCUUCAGCUUGGAGUGAUUGGCUUCCACUGGCUGCAACUUCUUCGUUUCAACUCUGAAUUGCACUCCGUUUGAAGCAUUGGAUUGUUGACUUCUUGAGCUUUGAAAUGGUAUAUAGAAUGCAUCAAUUGGACUCCAGAAAGUGCUCCAAAAAUGGCUGCUACGACUGUCAUCAAGAAUAUGCUUCAUGGUAGAUUCUCUUUACUUUUUCUCCUUGCAUUCCGGAUUUAUUCUUGGAAAAUGACUUCCAAGCUUUACCCAAGGUUCCUCAAAACUCUCCUCAAAUUUGAAUUGCUUUGGUGAUCAAAUUACUAACAAAAACACCAAAACUUACACAAAGUGAUUAAAAUUGCUUUCAAGGGUCCUUAACAUGCCAAUUGAGUUAAAAUGCCAAAACUACUACUCAAAAGUGUUUAAAAGGAUUAAUUAUAAGCUAUCAAAUAGCACUUUUUGAGUAGUAAUCAGUAAGUGCACUAGUGUGUAUAGUUAUUGAGAAAACCCCAAAGCCCAGUAGGGUAAUACCCAGAGGAGGGUGAAUGAGUGAAUAUAAAAAUUUAAAUAAAGAUUUACAUGUAUUACCAAAUUUUUCCCUAUGAGUAGUUAAAGAUUAUCAAUUCAAUUAAAGAUAUGCAAUAUGAACAAGCUAAUAAAAAAUAUAUAUAAGCAAUGAGGCAAAAGAAUUUUUAUGUGGGAAACCCCCACACUAAUUGUGGAGAUAAAAAAACCAUGAGGUUUAAGACUAUUAAUCUAAAUCCAUUAUAUGAGAUCAAGUUACAUAGAUUUAUCUACCUGCUUUACCUUAAAGACUUACUCUCCAAUACCUACAACUUGAUCCACGUUUGUGACGCAACAACCUCUGAUUGCUCCAAUAAAUACAUUUCAGCUUCAUUGAAGGGAUGGAGGUUUUCAACUUAAGAUUCAAAGAUUGAAUCCUUAAAUGAAAGAUCGGGAAUUUGUGGCUUUUAGGUUUUCUUUCCAAAGAAACCCUCUCUAAAGAAAAUAAGAUCUCUUCUGAAAUCUCUCAAAUCACUUAUCCUCUAGGGGUUAUAAUGACGUAUUUAUAGGUAAACACCCAAAGAGUUUCAGUUUUGGAAGAUUUUUAAACCAAAUUUGCGUGAAAAAAUCUCGACAUGAUCAACAUGAUCGUCAAGCCAAUUGAAGAACAACUUUGACGCCUCGGGCGCUUGAGCUGUGUGGAACACUUGAGCAGUCUUCAGUGCUUGAGCACUUUAGAUCACUUAAGCAAUCCUACCUUUUUUCAAAAUAAUAAUUUAAAGCGUUUUAAAUUAAAAAACAAAGUUAAUUCUCUUAUGCCUUAUAAAAGUCUAACUUGCCUUAAGCCAAACCUUUUUAGAUGUACCUAUGACUUCCUAAUAUGAUGAAUAACAACCUUUGAUCUUCACUGGAGAGCAAGUUACUAUCUAAAAGAACUUCUAUGGCAAAACGUUAAAAGGAACAAAAUUGUCAACAUAAAAACAAAACUCAAUGUUCUAACAAUCUCUCUCUUUGGCAGGUUUGUAACAAAAUAUUAUUACAUAAACCCACUCAAACUCUCUUAACGGAGUUUAUAUAACACACAUUAUCGAUCAAUUAAAAUUAAACUAAGGGAAUGAUUUGCAUCAUCUUAUAGUACUUAUCUUCCAACCCUAUAACCAACACAUAUAGAAAACUAUACCAAAGGUAAAGCAAUGUGUGGGAUAAGAUAUAAUCAAAACAACAUAAUAGGAUAGUUAGAGAUUUUGCUUAAUGCAUUGUGAAAGCAUAAAAAAGGAACAAAUCCCUGUAGCGACACCAAUGUAUAAAGCUAAGCUCAAGAGAAGUAUGUAUGUAUGCAAAUCAACUAAAUAUAAUAGAAACAUAAUAAGACACAAUAGCUCAACAAUAAAGUUUAGAGGUUUAUCUCCAACCAAAAAAUAGGGAGUGAAGAUUAUGAGAAGAAGCUUCUAUGACUCAUAAUAGUUCUAGAGAGAUAGACGAUUCAAAUAGAAAUAUUUUGCAAGAAGCAUCUAUGUCAAGUAUAUUUUUAAAACUUCUAAGGUAUGCUUUUAUUAGUUAAUUUGGUUUCCUUCAAUGUCUCAGGUUUAAUUUCAUUCAAUAUUUCAAUUAAUUUUCCUUAAAAUUUAAAUGAAUAAAAAAAUGAAUUGAAUUAAAUGAUUAAAAAAUUACUAACUUCCUUUAAAGAAUAUCUUUCCUUUUGUCAAAGAAUUAAUUUCUUAAUUACCUUUUAUCAAUUAGCUCUCAAAAGUAAUAUACUCCCCAUAUUUAAGUGAGUGAAAUAUGGUUAAUGAUCUCCCAUUUUUGGUCACAAAAUGGUAAAGCAUAUGACAUAUGAACAAGAAAGCACACACGAGAAAGAUAAAGAGACAUCAUAUAUAUAACAAAAAAAAUAUGAUUCUUGAUACAAAAGAUAUGCAAUAAACUAACAAAAUCCAUAUCAAAAUAAAUACAUUAAAAAAAACAUAAAAAUCUAAACAUCCAAAGGUGGUAGAGGAUGGAUAGAGCUCAAGGGGCCCUAACAGUGAAUCCAUGAUAUAAUAUAGUCAAGCUAACCUUGGAUCUAAUGGAGUUGAGUUUCUUGUGAGUCGAUCCUUGGAUGAAGUCGGGCCAUGGAAUCCAAAGUCUCUUAGGAAUUUCGGUCAAUGGAAGAAGAUUGAUCAUGGGUAGCUCGCGAAGAACUCGCAUGACCACAAUUGGAAAGAGUGUGAGGAGCAAGCUCAAGAAAAUUUGCCUCUAGAACUGCAUCCUGCUCCACAACUCGAAGCUCAUCCUCAUUUGAUAAUGCCUCUUAUACUACAUCUAGAUUCACAUCCUGAGGGCCAUGUGAGCUGGGGAUGUCAUGGGUCCAUAGACGUGACUAUAAUGCUUGGCCUAAAAGCUCCUAUCUAAGUAGACAUAAGAGGAUUGGAACCCCAAGGUUGGGUCAAUCUCAAAACCUACGUUCUCCAAGACACAGAAGAUGAGGAGAGGAAAAAGAAGGUCAUUUCUUUGGUAGAAAGGAUCAUGAUAUGGAGUAAUCGCGUCCAAGAUCACCUGACUAAUAUCAAACUAAUGGUAAAAAAGAAUGAUGUAACUAAGCAAGCGAUUGAUAGAUUUGGGUCAAAUAGGUCGAAGAGUAGAAAGAGUAGGUGAAAAACAUAGCAAGAAACUAUGUUGGCUUGGAGAAGCCAACGAUAAAGAUGUAAGAAGGAAAAAUGUGAGGAACACCAUAAAGAAAGGUUUGAAUGGAAUCAAGCUUCCCUCUUAUGAGAGUUUGAACCUUCGAAGAGAAAAAUGGAAGGUGAGACUUAAGUCACAACAUGCCAAGUACACAUUGAAUGGAACGAGAAGAAACAAGAAAAGAUUGGUUGUGUAUAGUCACUCAAAAAGUGACUUUGGUAUCUAUCGAGCGCAUGUUCGCGUAGAACAUCUGCACUAGAUGGGGAUAGUAAGUCCCUAGGAGUGAAAAGAGAGUCCUCCACUCUUGCUCUUAGAUUAUGAUGGGAAGAGGAGUAUCCUAGAAAGCUUUAAGAUUGACCAGAUGCUUGAUCUUAAUGUGACAAGUGUGGAAGGCAUAGAAGCGAUUGUGCCUUUUAGGAGUGGAAACACUGCACUAAAGAAGCUAUUAGGUUGAAAUGACCCAAUAGUAAGAUGCCAUAGAUGGGUUCAUGUGACCUUGGAGGAGUUACCUCACAUGGAUGACGAUGACUCACCAUAACAAGGUAAUGAAAUAUGAAAGGACACAAAAAAUGAGAAUAACUUUUAAAAAAAAUUCAAAAUAAAACUAAAUCCCUAGGAAUGUUAAAAACGAGGUACAAAACAUUACUAUGUGAACAAAAACUCAAGAAACUGAGCAAAUUGACCUCAAACGACAAAGAAAUUGAGACUUAGAGUGCUCAAAACAACUUGAUGUAGUUUAUCCGACGAGCAACCCAAGUGUUGGAAAUGGCAUUGGACAUGACUUAGAGCAUUUGAGUAGUCUAAUCACUUGAAGCAAUGCUAGAUAUAAUUUACAACACUUAAGCAUUUGUAACACUAGAAAGAGCGCUUGAGUAUGGGCAACAAAACUUGAGCGCUUGAAGCCUCAUAUAAUUACAAUGAAAAGAAUAAAAUUUAUUAAGGGAAUAAGGAAACUAAACAAGCUUAAUUAGAAACCAAUUGCUAUAACUAAGUUUAGAGAUGAAAUACAGAAACAAACAACUUGGGUAGAUCAUCAUGUUCAAGAACUUUCAAAGAUUAGUUUAAUUAGUAAUAAAUCAAGUGAGUUUCUCAGAUAUUAUACAUCAAUCCAUUAAGAAUGAGGUUUCAAGUUCAUAUGUCAGAGUUAAUGAUAAUUUUAGUUUUAAAACUCAAUGCAUAACCAUCAAUGUAUAAGAGGACCAACAUAAAUGUUGGGAUCGAGCCCAUAAAAGCAAGACAUGAUGUAAUAAAGUUAAACUUAAUUAUCCCCUUGCUAUCCAUUUGGUGUAUUGACAUUGAUUUGAUCAUUCAAUACAUGUCUCUUACAUUGUACAUGACUCAGAUACAUUAAGAGUUGCACAGAAGAUACAAGUCAUGGGUUCCUUGUAAGUAGAUAAGUUGCCCACAGUUAGUUCAUGGAUUUGGGCAUUCUAGUAGAGACUGUAUUGCAUCACCUCCUAAAUGGAGGAAUGACUUGUCUUAACCAUUGGGAUAGGUUUCCCAUAGUGAGUGUACUAGUGUAUAUGAUGCAUACUAGACAGGACUUAUAGUGAAUCAUGACGCAAGGCUAUCAAUUGUCAUGAUUCACCAAGCUACUAUACUACAUGGAGUCUCAAUUUUGAGAGGAUAUUGAGUAUGUGCCAAAAUAAACAGGAGGCUUUGACCUAUGGGUAAGACCCUAAAGUGGUCAUAUAUCCUUAUGGAUUGGGUCACUAUUGAUGAAGACUGGUGGCAAAAGGUAUUCUCAAUAAAGGCAUCAUGAUAUCUCAUGGAAUUGAGACAAUGUGUCUCAUUGGGUGAUCCAAAGGACAUGUAAUCAUUAAAUAUGUGGCCACAGUAAUUCUUUUAGCGGAAUUUGACAUAUGCUCCUUGGAGCUAGAAUAUGUCAUUUGAUCACAUAAUAAGUGAGAUCUGUAACUCAAGGAUUUGAGAGGUAAUCUUGAUAGGUGAUGGCACUACCUUGUUAGAUUAUGAACACCAGUUCAUAGGGAGUUUGUAUGCAGUGGAUAGUAGGUCAUGGACUUGAGCACUUGGUGUCUCGUUAUAAUAUACAUAGGAUAUUGGAGUACAGUUUACUCUCUGUAAUGGGAUGUUGAGUUAAUUUCAGAAUUUGAUUCUAAGGUAGCCAAUACUCCUAUGGGUCCCAAUGGUCCAUGUUUUGAGCUCAUAUUCCUUGUUAGCACGACUUAUGAGGUUUGGAUGAGUUUUUAAUUUAUUUUUGUGCAUAAGGGUAUUUUGGUAAUUAUGCAAAGUUGCACAGGGAUAAGUGAGUGGUAUCUCCAGAUUGGGCUAAUUGAUUAAUUAGGCCUUGUAUGGUUAAUAAAUCAAUUAGCAAUCUUUUUGGGCUAGAUUAAGUGACCCAAGCCUAUGGUGGGCUUAAGUCACUUAGGCCUAAUAGGAAACCUAUAAAUACCCCUUUAGGGGUUAGGGUUUUCAAGUCUUGUCAUUCACCCAUUUAGUCUAAAGAAAAAACUUUAGCCUCCAUCAUUGAGAUCUCCACCAUCUCAGGGCCUAAACAUAAGGAAGAGUCAUUGGGUGGAAGAUCACGGUGUUUACAAGAUCCAUUACGACUUUGGAGUUAUCUACUAUGAUUGGAAUUGAUCUGGGAACAUCUGGAUCAAAGGUAUGUGACUUUAAUUUCUAGAUCUAUGUUUUCUAUGGUAUUUUUUUUAAUACCUGUUUAUCUGCUACGAUAGAUUUAGAGAGCCUAUGAUAGAUUUGCAUGCACCCUACAUAAUCUAGGGCAUGAGAACAGAGUAAUCCAGGGUUCUCAACAAUAGAAACAUAAGUAUUGAUGUUCAUGUUAGAAACCCUAUCCUUGGAUCUCAUAGGGUGCAUGCAACUAUCCUUAGGGCUUUCUAGAUCUAACGCAACAUAAACAUAUGACCAUAAAAACUAUAUUAGGAUAAAGAUCUAGAGAAAAAAAAAUACUUAUGAUCUGGACAUUCCCAAAUCAAAUUUGUGUUUAUUUACUUGAUAUAUUAACAUGAUUUAUAAUAUCUCAAGUUUGAGAACUGGAUAAAUAUACUAUGUCCAAAAGAUUUGAUGUAGAUUGAUUCUUAGAUAUUUGUUAAUCAUUAUUCACAUACUUGAUUCUUGAUAAUUAAAUGCUUUGUAUGGUGAAUUUCAACCUUAGUUGCAUCUUGUGCUUGAUCAAGAGGGAGACUUCUUAAGUUUAAUUCAUAAAGUAGACUUUGUUUACUUUGGAAUGAUCCUUUGUUAUGCUCAAAUCUUAUUAUCCACAUGUCUUAUUUGAUUAAGAUCAUUAUAAUUGUUUCUUAAAGUGAGUCAGUGCAAAUUCUUGAAUCAUUGGUUAAGCAUAACUCUCAUACACUUUCCAAGAUAUUUGCUCUUAAAUGUAAGCUACUCACUUGCAACAUUUGGAAACACCCCUAAAAUGGAUACAAAGGCAACCAUGAAUGAAAUAAAAUGAAAAAUCAAUAAUGAUCAUGUUGUAUAAUGCCUCCAGUUAAAAAAAAAAAAAAUGAUAUCAAAUUAAGGGAAAGUCAGGUUGUGUUGUAUGUAGAUCAAUGAGGUUGUGUUAAAUAUAAAUCUAGAGAUCUUAGAUCGAAUUGACUGGAUGUGUACUUUAAUUUGAAUAAAGGUAUGACUAGAUCUCUUCUAAGUGAUCAAUUUCGAAAUAUAGAAUUAGACAGUAAGUCGUAUUCCCUUGAACUGUUGGAAUUGAGCCCUUGAAAGCAAGACAUGACGUAACAAAGUUAAACUUAACUAUCUCUUUGCUAUCCUUUUGGUGUAUUGACAUUGAUUUGAGAAUUCAACUCAUGUCUCUUAUAUUAUACAUACACGACUUGGGUACAUUAGGAGUUGCACAGAAGAUACAAGUCAUGGCUUCCUUGUAAAUAGGUAAGUUGUCCACAAUUGGUUCAUAGAUUUGGGCAAUCUAGUAGAGACUAUAGUGUACCACCACCUCCUAAUUGGAUGGAUGACUUAUCUUGGUCGUAGGGAUAAGUUUCCCAUGGUGAGUGCAUUAGUGUAUGUGAUGCACAUUAGACAAAACCUACGUUUAAUCAUGAUGCAAGGCUAUCAAUUGUCAUGAUUCACCAAAGUAUUAUACUUCAUGGACUCUCAACCUUGAGAGGAUAUUGAGUCUGUGCCAAAAUCAACAGGAGGCUUUGACCUAUGAGUGGGACCCUAAAGUAGUCAUAUAUCUUUAUAGAUUGGGUCACUAUUGAUGGAGGCUGGUGGCAAUGAGUAUUUUCAGUAGAGACAGCAUGAUCUCAUGGGAUUGAGACAGUGAGUCCUCUUAAGUGAUCCAAAGAAUAUAUGAUCAUGAAAUCUGUGGCCAUAAUAAUUCCUUUAGUGGAAUUUGACAUAUACUCUUUGGAGCUAGAGUAUGUCAAUUAAUCACAUAAUAAUUGGGAUAUGUAACUCAAGGAUUGGAGAGGUAAUCUUGAUAGGUGAUAAUACUACAUUGUUAAAUUAUGAACACUAAUUUAUGGAGAGUUUGCAUGUAAUGGAUAAUAGGUCACGACCUAAACUUUGUCUCGUUGUUAUUUACAUAGAGUAUUGGAAUGCAGUUGAUUCUCUUCAUUGAAAUGUUGAAUCAACUUCAAAAUAGGAUUCUGAUGGAGCCAGUACUCCUAUGGGUCCUAAUGGUCCUUACUCUGCACUCAUAUACCAUGAUGGCAUGGUUUAUGAAGGUUGGAUUGGCUCUAGGUUCAUUCUUGUGCAUAAUGGCAUUUUGGUAAUUAUGUAAGGAUGCAUAGUGGAUAAUGAACAAGGUCUUUGAUUUAGAUUAAUUGAUUAGUUAGAUAGCCCUAUGUGGUUAAUUAAUCAAUUAAGACCCGUUUUUGGCUAAAUUAAGUGACCCAAGCCUUGAUGUGCUUAAGUUACUUAAGCCCAAUGGGUAAUCCUAUAAAUGCACUUUUAUGGGUUAGGGUUUCUUAAUGACUUUCACUUAGUCAUCUUCCAUCUCCAAAGAGAGAGAAAAAAAAGAGCUAAAGUUUCCUCUUUUCCAUUACCCACACUUUGGAGUGCUAAGAUCGUGCUUUGAGUCAUUGGGCGGGAGAUCUUGGGUGUAUGAGACCUCCAGAUUUUAUAGGCAUGUUUGUAAUAUGCCUAAAGUAAACAAGAAGAAGGUCAAAAGAAAAGAUGAAACCCUUAACCAAGUAGCAUAUCUUGGUUAUAGGAAAAAUAACAAAAUGAUUAAAGUGCACAAGGAGUAUAUUUACAUUAAGCCAAACAUUCCUUAACUAUAGAAUAUGGUCAAUGUAGUAAGUGCAGGAAAAAAAAUUUAUUUCUCCCACUUUGAGAAUUUAUUUUCAACAAAACAAGGUCCAAAAAUUAAUUUUAAGAAGUAUAGAUUAAGGAAAAAAUACCAAAUAAAAUUUAAAAAUUUUAAAAAUAAUUUAAUUUUGAAAAAUGAGUUUAGGUGUCCAGAAUAGGGUUAAAAUUGGACCUAUGCAAAAAUCAAUUUAAAUAUCUCAAUUGAAAAAUGAUUUUAAGCUCAAAUUUAUUUAUUAUUAUUAUUAUUUGAAAAUUUUAGGAAGUUAGGAACAUCAUAAAAACAUCAAAAUAUUUUUUAUAAAAAAUUAAAGUGCCUUGAUUCCAAUUUUUCAUUUCAAAGGUUAGUGAGUUAAUCAAAGUGGUAGUAGGCUCUCAUUUGGAAAAACUGAAUGUAUGUUGGAAUCCACCAUGGUCUAGAUUAAUGUGCACAAAUUAAAUUCAUGUUUCCCAAUCCUUCAUAAUCAUGAUGAAGCUUAUGAGGACUAAGAGUUACUCUAUUAUUUGUUGCCAUGGAUUUGAUUCAUGUGAGUAAAAUUGAAAACAAAGAAGGUCAAUAAGAAAAGUGCAUGUCGAUUGAAACACGGUUGCAUGUCUUCAAAAAGAGAUUUUUUUUUUUUUAAAUUCUAGAGAUUUAAGACGAACUUAGUAGAAAAAAAAAAAAACAAAACAUAACAAAAAAAAAAAACAAAAAACAAAAACAAAAACAAAACAAAAAAAAAACUUUUUAUUUAUUUAUUUAUAGAAAAAGCCUUGAAAAUAUUUUUAAACAAUCUAUUCACAUAGUAUCUUUGGAUGAAAACAAGAUACCAUUACUAAGAGGGUUAGCCAAGUAGUUGAGGUCAUGCUAGUUCUUCUUGGGCUUCACUCGAUGUAUCUUCUUCGAUCAUUAGCCAAGUAGCAUAUCAAGAACGGUGUGGUAAAUUAGGCUUCCUCUCUAGGAGAUUCUUUUGAAAUCUCUCCAAUCUCUAACCCUUAGAGGAUUCUAAUGAGGUAUUUAUAGGAAAAUAACCUAAAGAGGUUCAGUAUGAAUAGGUUUCCAAAUCUAAUUUGCGUGAAAUUCUAAAAAAUAUCUCCAAUUCUUGGCAGGAAAUUCAUGAGCGCUCGAGUGCACUUAACCACCGCUUGAGCACCUCAGGCGCUUGAGUGGUCCCAAUGCUUGAAUGUUGCCACCCGCUCAAGCAUCCCUUAUUUCAUUGCACUUUAAUAGAAAAUCAAUUUUUGUUUAUUUAAAAGAUAUUGUUCCUCUUUAUACCUCAUAGGAGCCUAAUUUACCACAAAUCAAACAUUUUUAGAUGUACCUGUGACUUCCAAUUGGACGAACAACAACCCUUGAAGGACUUUUAUUACCAAAUAUUAAAAGGAACAAAAUUGCCAACAAAUAAACAAGACUCAAUAUCCUAACAACAUCCUUGGAUUUAUCUUUGUUUCUCACAUUUUGAUCCUUGUCUCUCAUCUCCCUAGAAUUCUAUCUCCAUUUUUUUUUUUUUUUUUGCCUUGACUUCUAUCUUUUAUCAUAUGUGAUAUCAUUCACAAUAUAUUUUCCCCAUAGGUAUCUUUUUCAUAUGCUCUAAACUCCUAAUUAGCUUAUUAGAAGACUAUUUGAAAACUUGAGUGAUGAGUAUACAUAUUAUUAGGAUUAUUUGGUAGUCUUUCUUGUUCUUCAAUAGAUCCCAUUUUGUUUCAUUUUUGUGCAUACACAAUCAUUUUCACUUAUGGGCUUGACCGAGGAGGGGCUUAUUUGUAAACCCUCAAAGUUGUCAUUGAUGUAGACCCAUUUGUUUAGAGCCUUCAAGCCCAAGUAAAAGACAAUUAGAGCCCCAUGUUGACUUGAUUUAAGGAUUAAUUGUAGGCUCAUUUACUUGAAAAGAUAAGAGAGGGGCGAUAUGAAUAUUGAGAGAGAAAAGCCAUAGGAGAUUAAUCUAAAACCCUCUUAUUGGUGGAGAAUUUUUUUUUUAAUCUUGAAAUUGAUUUGACCGAAGAAUGUAGGUUUGUAUAAAAAUUGAAUGUUGAAAACAAAAAAGAGGAAAAUUUGGGAAUUGAGAGAGGAAAAUUAGAGGAGAUUAAGAAGGAAAAAUGUGUUUGAUUAAUGAGAAAAGGGAAAGAAAUGUGAAUUUUGAGAAGUAAUUGGAGGUUUGACAAAAUAAAAUAAGGAAGUAAAAAAGAAAAAACAAGUGGGGGGAGAAUGGAAUUAGGAUUGAUUAGCUAUGAUUCUGGGUUAAAAAGAGAAGGUUUAAAAAUUUUAAAAAUUGAAAGAAAUACACAAGAGGUCAUUAGAAGAUUAGGAUGUGAUUGGUAAGAAAAAUGGAAGACAUUUAUUUAAAAAUUUAUUGUAAGUGAGAUUUUAGAUUAGAUUAGAUUCACUUUUAAUUAAAGAUUAAUAAAAUUCAUUUGGUAUUUUAUUAAUUCCACUUAAGUACUCACACACAAUUUUAUUUUUUCUAAAAUAUAAUUUUAUUUUUUAAUAAAAUUUGAUUCAAUGUCUAAAUUGUUGUGUUAUAUUUUAUAUAAAAAUCUUGAAUGAAGGAGUACACUAAGAUAACUUGGUUUGAAGAAAAUAUUUCAUGUAUUAAUUUUUUUCUUUAUUCCUUUUGUUUCAUUAUGGUCAUGUGUAGAUAACUUUUUAUUAUAAAUAGAUUUAUUUUUGUUCCCAAUAUCUAUUUUUUUAUUAAUUAUUUAUUUGCAAUAAAAUUUUACUUUUUCUAAAAAUUGUUUUCCAAAAAUGAAGUUUGCAUUGUUAUAUGUUUUCAGUUGUUAUUCACUACAUUCAAAUUUUGAAUUUUUAUUUAUUUGAUCCACUGCGCCUUAAUUGAAGUAACUUUAUCUUUUCUAAAUAUUUACAAGUAGAAAUAUAAAAUAUUGCAAGUAAUCUAAAGUAAAGUUUUUUUUUUCCUAAGAAAUUUUAGUUUGAUAUUUAAACAAAUGUGUAAUAUUGUAUGGGAAUUGUAUUUGGAUAAAAAUAAUUUGGUUGAGUAAAAUAAUGUCUAUAAUUGAAUUUCUACAUUAAUAAUUUUGUUGCAAUAAAGUUUGACUUUUUUUUUUUGUUUUUUAAAAUUUUGAUUGCUUCAAAAACAUUUUUAAAUUAAUAAUCCAAAAAAUUCAUUUUUUUUUUUGGUGAAACAAAGGAACAAAAAAUAAUCCAACAUUUUUAAUAUAGUCCAAAUUCAUUUUUAAUAAUCCAACAUUUUGCCUUUUUUUUUUUUUUUUUUGGUUUUUGGUGAAUUAUAGGAACAAAAAAUAAGGGAAGUGUCAAACUAAGUUUGAUUUCAUUCAUUCACCUCAAUUUCCUUCAACAUUGUACAUAAUCUUCUUUUAUUUGAGGUCCAUCAUAUUCAUGACUUGCAUAUAUUUUGUAUUACAUUUUUAUCAUUAUUUUAUAUGGCAUCGGAUUUGUUAAUUAAAUUAUCGAAUAUUAAGCUUCCUUAAAUGGAGUGUAUUAAUUUAAGGUUAGAAAGGUGUUUCAUACUUUUCUGAUAAAUAAUUUGACCCCUAAUCUUGAUUGUGGUUCACAGUCAGUCUUGUUUUUCUAUCAUUGGAGUUACUUUAGUAUUUUAGAUUUCUUAGUUUAUUUUUUUUCUAUCAAAAAAUAAAAUAAAACAAAUGACUAUUCUAAAAAUGAUCUUUCGAAGAUAGAAGACCUUUCUUUUUUGAUAAAAAGGUUUUGCCAUAGAGUGGAGGCACAUGUAAAAAAUGUGGGUCCAUGGUAUGUAUUCAUGUUUAUUUAUUUGUAAUUGAAUGGUGAUUGAUAUGAGAACAAAGCUCCUAUAUUGAGAAAGUUAGUCAUCAAAAUUUUGUCACAAAUUGCAAUAUGUUUAGCUUGUGAGAGAAAUUGAAGUACAUUUGCUCUAAUCCCACCUAAAGAAUGAAAUCAUCUCACCUACCCGGGCUUCAACAUUUAGGUUUUUUUUUAUUACAACAAGCAACCAAAGUUACAAGAUAUGAAGUCUACAAAUGAGAAAGUCAUAAAGACAAUAUAUAUAUAUAUAUAUAUAUAUAUAUAUAUAUAUAUAUAUAUAUAUAUAUAAUUUUUUGUAAAAGAGUAAUUUAAUUGAGUAGGGAUAUAUGCGAAAAAUAUGGGUCCAUAUGUAUUCAUGUCAUUUAUUUAUUUGUAGUUGAAUGGUGGUUCAUGUACGAGAACAAAGCUCCUAUAUUGAGGAAGUUGACAAUCAAGACUUUGUCACAAAUUUCAUCGUCUUUAACUUGUGAGAGAAAUUAACGGAGCACAUUCACUUUGAUCUAAACGAAAGAAUGAAUUGUUACACCUACCCCAAGCUUCAAUAUGUAGUUUUUGUAUUACAAUAUGAAACUAAAGUUAUGAAUGAUGAAGUCAUAAAGACAUACCAAAAUUUGUUUUUCAAAGAUAUUUUUUUAUUCUUUAUAAAAUAUUCUUACCAUCAAAUAUGGAUGCCUGUGAAAAAUGUGGGUUCAUAGUAUGUAAUUAUAUUGGAGCACAAUCACUCUAAUUCAAACUAAAGAAUGAAAUCGUUUCACUUACCCCAAGCUUCAAUAUUUAGUUUUUUGUAUUACAAUAUGAAACUAAUGUUAGAAAAUAUGAAGUUUGUGAAUGAUAAAGUCACAAAGACAUUCCUAAAAUAGUUUUUCAAAAAUAAUUUAUUUAUUUUUUAUUCUUUAUAAUGAAAGAAUCUUCCAUCAAAUGUGGACACAUGUAAAAAAUGCAGUUCAUAGUAUGCAAUCAUGUUUGAGCACAUUCGUUCUAAUUCAAACUAAAGAAUGAAAUUGUUUCAGCUACCCUCAAGCUUCAAUAAUUAAUUUUUUGUACUACAAUAUAAAGCUAAAAUUAGAAAAAUAUGAAGUUUGCGAAUGAUAAAGUCACAAAUACAUAUCUAAAAUUAUUUUUCAAAGAUAAUUUUUUUUAUUCUUUAUAUAAAAGUCUUGCCAUCGAGUGUGAACGCAUGUGAAAAAUAUGAGUCUGUAAUAUGUAUGUUGGAGCACAUUCACUCUAAUUCAAACUAAAGAAUGAAAUCAUUUCACCUACCCUAAACUUCAAUAUUUAGGUUUUUUUUUUUUUUUUUUGUAUUACAAUAUGAAAUUAAAGUUAUGAGAUGUGAAGUUUGCAAACAAUAAAGUCAUAAAGACAAACCAAACAUUAUUUUUCCAAGACAAUUUUUUUUAUUAUUAUUAUUAUUUAUAAAAGAGUCUUGUUAUCGAGUGGUAAUAUAUGUAAAAAGUGUAGGUCCAAAGUAUAUAUUCAUUUUAUUUAUUUAUUUGCAAUUGAAUGGUUCAGGAAGUUGAACAUUAAGAUUUUGUUACAACAUUAAUUACAUAAUCUUUAGCUUAUGAGAGAAAUUAAAGCACAUUCAUUUUUAAUCCAAACUAAAGAAUGGAACCGUCUCACCCAUCCAAGCUUUAACAUUUAGUUUUUUUGUAUUAGAACAUGAACUAAAGUUAUGCAAUACGAAGGUUGUGCAUGAUAAAGUUACAAAGAUAGAUUUCUUUGAGUUCUUGGAGAUUUCAGUCGAGGAAGAUGAAAAAGAGGACUAGUAGUUCUAAUGGGUUCAUCCGUUGCACUUAGAUGAUGAUGAUCGAAAUCCACCCUUACAAUAAGAUAAUGAUGAUAAAAAUUUUGAUCCACAAAUUGUCAUACAUGUUCAUAAUUUUAUUAUAACAAAGGCAAAGCAAAUUCAUUUGAAUAGGCAAUGUCACCAUAAAUAUAACCUCGUGUUAAUGUUAACUUCAUAAAUGUUGGCCAAAUAGUUGUGCUAUUGCUUUAGGUUUUGAUUAUUUUACCUCGAAGAAGAUGGGAUAGUUCCGAUCAUUUUGCCUUAAGGGAAGAGGGAGAUUAUAAGGAUGAUGAUAGAGAGAUGUAAUAGUGAUGACUAUAAUGGAGGGGAUGUUGAACAACAUGAACAAAGUCAACAUCCAUUAAGCCCAACAUGUGAGCCUCAUGCUUAUCCUACUUUUGUCAUGGGUAAUGGUUAGGUUUCUUAAGAUCAUAAUAUGGGUUCAAGUUCAUUUGUGAUGACAAUGGUAUAUUUAGUUAUUCUUUACAAAUGUCACACAAUAUUUUAGAUUAGAUACAAAGAAGAUGUCAAACAUGCAUAUGAAUGAAAUUGAAAUUAAUUUCCCAUUAUUAAAGAGGCAGUGUGCAGUCAACAGAUCAUAUAUAUAUAUAUAUAUAUAUAUAUGACAUAUUCAUAAUUACAAUUAUUAUUAUAUAAACUCUAUGUCAUAAUAUAAAUAUAAGAUGAUUUUCCUUUAUUCUCAAUUAAAUAUAUGCUUUCAAAAAUCAUAUUUCUUAUUAACACACCUUAUAUUAUUGUUGAACAUCACAAUUAUUGUUUGUUUUUUGUCAUUUUUAAGGUUUAUUUUUUAUUUUUUUGGUCUAAAAUUUAUAUGAUUUCUUAUGUAUUCGGAGAGGGAGUGACUUGCUUUUUUCACAUUGCCAAGAAACGAAAUAACCAUGUCGUAAGUAUUGCCGCGCACAGAGUACUCUUAACAGGGCACCCCAUGAGCAUGAAGCACAUACUCGGUACGUAGAACUUAACAGUGGUAAAGGCUAUAUAGAGCCAAUUGAUUCACGGUAAAAUCACUUCGUACUAUGUUAAUUCCCUAUUCUGAACAGGUUUAUUAUGCAGGGAAAGAACUCGUAAACGAAGAAACGAGUCAAGUUAUUCGGGAUUACAAACGUACCAACCUACUUUACAAGCCAAUAUUUCAAUGGUAGUGGCCCCGGCAGGCCCUCGGAUAUUGUGCCAUGGGCCGGACGAUUUGACCCUUGGAGGAAGGAUCCAUUUUGAAUGAGAUGGAAUAAAUAUAUGAUCAACAAUGUUAAACUUGUCGUUGUUGGACCAACUCUUGUACUAGCCCAAUCAAAUCCCUUGAAGAGGUGCCACCGGGUAGCACUGCACCCAAAGCCUCGUCUCUCAGUUCCUUGGCCCUCCUCUUCUGGGGAAAGUCCUCACUCAUGGCCUUAGCAAUUGUCCUACCCACCUCAGCCGAGUCAGGCACGGUCUCGUCGCCUUCGCACACUCGCACCGCAGCUCCCAAGUGGUCCACCAAGAGCAUCGCGUUCACGUACUGAUCAGCCUCCAUGGGCCACCCCAGAAUCAUGGCUCCACACACCAAGGCUUCCAUCAGAGAGUUCCAUCCGCAGUGACUCAGGAACCCACCCACUGCUCUGUGACUCAGUAUCGACACCUGGGGGGCCCAUCCCUUUAUAACCUUUCCCCUCUCACCCACUCGCUCCUCAAACCCAUCCGGCGGCAAACUACCCGCUUUCAUCACCCAUAUGAAUCGACCUCCGCUCCCUUCCAGCCCAGAUGCUAGAGCCGCUACUUGAUUGGGUUUCAGCAGUUUUUGACUCCCGAAGCAGACGUACACAACCGUCCCAUCUGGGCAACCAUCGAGCCAACCUAGCACAGCAUCAGUAGCAGCCGAAUCCGGAUUCGAAUUUCCACGAUUCAGGGAUCCAGACCCGCCUGGCAAAACAAGCGGCCCGACACUCCAGACCCGGUGGUGACCCAUUUGGCUCCUCAAAUGUUCCACAUACUCGCGUUCCAACGCACCAAACGUGUUAAACACACGCCCCCAACUCAAGGUAUUGGCAGUCAUACAAUCCCUCACGAACCGCCACUCGGGAUCGGAUCCUCUGUAAUGACGGAAGACAGAAGGGAGAUGGUCGGCACUGAAGGAUGGCGCUUUGGGAAGAUGAGGAAAGGAAACCACAGGCGAAGAGAGGAGUGCAUCCGCGUUGAGCCAUAGGUGGUCAGAGACACAGGCGAGAAAAGCGCCGGAGGAGUAGAAGGUGAUUCUGGGGAUACGGAGUUGGUGGGCAAGGUGGUGGGUCCAGCCGAGGAAGAAAUCAGAUAUGAUGGCAACAGGUGGUGAAGCAUGGGAGUUGAACCAGUGGAGAAUAGGGCUGUGAAGCUUGGCGAGAGCGUUGAUGAUGGGAACGUUGCCGAGGUUGCCGAUGUCCUUAACGUUCUCAACCCCGGGUGGGAGGGAGGGGUGGAGAGGAAAUUCUAGGACAAGGGUUUCGAUACAAGUGGGGUGGGCGGAGAGGAGAGGGUUGAGGAAGGGUAGGUUCUUGGGAGUGACGACCAGUGUGAGGGUUAGGUUGAGGUUAGUGAGAAGUAACUGAUGGGCUAGAUCUAGAAGCGGGAGCAUGUGGCCUUGUGCAGGGUAUGGGAACGCCAGAAUGUGAAUGGGUGUUUGCUCACAACCAGACAUGGCUCUGGACUCUGGAGUUAUGGAUUCCUUGUUCCACCGGUUGCCUCGCCAAGUCCUCACAUUUAUUGCGACUCCGUUGCAGACUUUUAGACAGUUGACCAUGACCGCAACUAUUCUGCUGGUGUCCACCUCUUUUAUCUACUGUCCAAGGUUAUGACGUAUGAGCAAGAGAGGGUUGUGGAUCGUGCGCCAUUCCAGACUUGGCCCCAUCCAACCUUAUCUCCUCUGAAAAACGACGAAGUUAUGAAUUUU
This 56516-nucleotide long non-coding RNA is filed under the name Vitis vinifera (wine grape). Its description in RNAcentral is "long non-coding RNA (VVIN_LNC004733)". The record is from RNAcentral. Lineage: Eukaryota; Viridiplantae; Streptophyta; Magnoliopsida; Vitales; Vitaceae.